ACCAGAAACAUAACGCACCAGCACAUAUACAGAGUUUAAUUCCCCCUCCAUGUCCAUGGAUGUGCUGAAAAACAAUACUGCAGAUUUAACGAUAAUCCACCAGAAAUAUUAACCCUGUCAGAAAUUUAAUACAAUACCUCGAUUUUGGGCUCGAGAAUAGCUCGAUCGAGAGAAUGAGAGAGAGAUAGCAGCAGGUGCGUGUAGUUUGUCUGUGAUGUGGUUGAGACAGAGAGACUCGAAGAAGGUGGGCUGAAGAGAGACAGAGUCGAGAGAGAUGAGAGGGUUCGAGUCGAGAGGAGGCCGAGUCUCAGAAAUUCAGAAUGACAGAAUGACACAGGAUUCGCUCCUCGAACAUUUCUCAGUCUUUCUGUCGAAACUCGCGCUCUUAAUUUGCAUGCGAGACCAAAUUGAUAUUGUUCCUUUUUAAGUCAAAACAUUAGUGAGAUUUUUUUUCUAGUAACAAAAGAAGACGGAGGAGAUCCGUCAAUCGAGGUCUCUGUCGAUCCUGGUUUGCCUUUUGUAGUUUGAGAUCCUUCAAGAGAGACUUCUAAGGAGAUCUGUCGAGUUUAGAGUUUUACUCAAUUUGGUUUUUAUUGUUCUUUUUUUUAUUUGGGUUUUUUUUUUGCAUUUGGUACUAUUUAGGAAAUUAGGUGGAUACAAAAUUUUAGAUUUGAGAUUUUCUAAAUCUUGGUUCAAAUUAGGAAUAUCUGCAGUUUGGUUCUAGAAUUUGGAUUUUCUGUCUUCCGAAAGUUUGAACUAGGUUUUUCAAUUGGAUCAGAAAAUGGACUUGUGGACCCGCUGGAGCCGGCCUGUUUCAAACGGUCCGAGUUGGGUUCGGUUCCAUUUUUUAAAACGUGACUACUAGCCCAGCCUCACCCCAUGUUAUUUCCAAAAGAGUAUAGUCCUGUUUCAUUAAAUUUGGAGCCGGCCUGGCCUGGCCUGUGCCCCCUAGUAUGAACACUAUUCAGGUUUUUUUUCACAAAUCAAACUCAAAUAAAAGGGACAGUAGAAGGGGCCAAAUUAUGAGAACUAACUAGAGGUGCAGAUUUUAUAGAACAAGAAAUGACAGAAACUGCUAUGGUAUAUAUUUCUUCCAAUUCAAGCAUCUGAAGUCGUUUCGUACUUUAAAAGGUGGUUAGCCUAUUUGUAUUGGUACAGAAACCGGAUGAAAAAAUUUGGUCUUCUCGAUUUGGAUUUGAGAUUUCUUCAAAUAUUGGAAAGUGACGCCAUAUUAAGAGCUAGUUGAUUAGUGAAGAUAUGAUGCAAACAAAAUAAGAAAGAUGAAUAACCAAACCAUAAACAACUCCAUAACAUGGAAAAACUAACACUUUUUUCUGUUACGCAAUCUAAUAGAUGGAUAUUUGUUUGUAUAAGAAGUAUACAACAAAAACGAAUGCCAUCACUUGGACACAUACAGGCAAUGGGUGGAAUGCUGCAGCCAGUCGCCUAAGCUCAUACUUAGGAGGCCACUUCACCCUCUUGCUUGAUUUUCUGCAGCAAAUCAAGAAAUGCUCAGGAAACCUUAUGGGCUACAAAAACCAAAGAACCAAUUUGAAUGUAGUGAUGGCAAAAUUGGUUUUACAAUCUCACAAGGGAAAUUGUUAUUAACAGUCCAAAAAGGUCAUCUGACACACCUCUUUCCUUUAUUUUGUAAUUAGUGACAAGAACAGAUGUUAAAUAUUUAGCGUACUCCUCAGCACCAACCAUCGUAAUCUGUAAACUUGAGGCUUCUCACUGUGUGUGUGUGUGUGUUGGAGAUAAGUGUUGUUUUAUCUCCAGAAGAUGAAGAACCGUUAAACAAGAGCGUCCAAAAUGACUCAAAACCAAAAUGUAUUUAUGUGAUCAGUAUAACCGCAGUUUCCUAUCGAUCAAUACGUUAUAACAGCAGUUUAACAAAGCCAAGAGAAGUAGAAUCUGGCACUGUCAUAUAGGAAUGCCUAUCAUCAUAAGGAGCAAGGCUUCCAUGAAAGUUUACACAUGUGGAGAGGUGCAAGAUAGAUUAAGGGUUAUUGUGCCAAUUCAAACAUUAAAAAAAAGAAAAAGAACAGUUCAGCUAAAGUCCACCUCUGUUUAUCUAGAAGCAAGAAAUGUGCAUAAGUUAUAUUAGAAAAAGGAAUGAACUUACAUCAUGGCGAUGAAACCAUCUAAGGCAUUGUUCUUCUUGGCUCUCCCCUGUGAAAUAACCCAAUUUUAUUAUUAAAAACAAGAGCUCACAGACAAGUAAAAAGCUUGUCGACCAAAGAAAAAGACAAGUACAAAACUUGGGGCUUGUUUGGUUUCCUUCCCGGAUCCAAUUUUUUGUUUUCACAAAUGAUGAAUGUAGCUAAAUUCCUUCAUUCUCAUUAGUCUCAAAACAAAAAAUUGGCUUCUAUUGAUAAAAGGUAUUUAACAAGGAAAAAGAUAUCGUAUAGAUGUAUAUUCAGUCACCUUUUUAUGAACCAACCGAAAACUCUCCUCUUCUUCAGGCUCAAAAUCCUCACAUUUUCUGAGACAUGAAAUACUCGGAAAUCAAAUGAAGUUGCAAUAAACCAUAUAACAAAAUUUUGGAAUAUUGAACUGAAUAUUACAAAGAAGAAACAAAAAAAUGGAGGAGAAAGUAUGAACUUACGGCAUAAAGCUGAAACAAAUACGAAGUGUACCAUAAUGUCCUAUGUGGAAAUCACACACACUAGAAUCUAAAGUCUUGAUAUGCAUUGUUUCAUCAUCACAGACAAUUUCGAAUGUGGUGAUAAACAUCUCUUGAGACUCCUUCCAAUCAGUUGAGAUAGUUUGAAGAAGACAGAACUCCAACUUCCCCAAAUGAACCAAAUACUCUGUUGGCCUAGAAAUACGACCAGAUUCCGUACUGUCCGCAACCCUACUCUCCAGUCCUGGCAAAAAGAAUGGUUCCUCUAGCGAAUAGGUAAUACGACCAUCAUUCCCUAUUUUCAUCUUAAGUGAGAACGCUAUAACCUUUCCACGUUGUAUAGAUAAGGCAUAUAUAGAGUUGCCUACAACCACGACCCUCCCUCGAAAAGCAGAAUAAUAAGCUUCCUUUCUAGAUAUAUCAACUUGAUGCCAGGUAUUAUUGUCUAUAUGAAAAACCAUGAACUCAAAUCGAAAAUUGCAUGUUGAAACCAAAAUACAUCCAUGACAAACAGCAUAACCUGCUAUCUGCAUGUUGGACCGUUCCCGAGAAUAUGCAAAAUGAGUAAGAGAUUCCCAAGAAUCAGUUUUGGAAUCAUACCGCUCAAACAAUACCUUCGGCAUUACUCGGAAGCACUGUGGAGAUGCAAGAUUAUAAAGCUUUCCGUAUGCAGACAUAAGAUAUGAAACUGGCUUAGGUGCUAAAGGAGGCUCGAAUGUUUCCAAUGACAGAAUGACACAGGAUUCGCUCCUCGAACAUUUCUCGGUCUUUCUGUCGAAACUCGCGCUCCUAAUUUGCAUGCGAGACCAAAUUGAUAUUGUUCCUUUUUAAGUCAAAACAUUAGUGAGAUUUUUUUUCUAGUAACAAAAGAAGAUGGGGGAGAUCCGUCAAUCGAGGUCUCUGUUGAUCCUGGUUUGCCUUUUGUAGUUUGAGAUCCUUCAAGAGAGACUUCUAAGGAGAUCUGUCGAGUUUAGAGUUUUACUCAAUUUGGUUUUUAUUGUUCUUUCUUUGAUUUGGGUUUUUUUGCAUUUGGUACUAUUUAGGAAAUUAGGUGGAUACAAAAUUUUAGAUUUGAGAUUUUCUAAAUCUUGGUUCAAAUUAGGAAUUUCUGCAUUUUGGUUCUAGAAUUAGGAUUUUCUGUCUUCCGAAAGUUUGAACUAGGUUUUUCAAUUGGAUCAGAAAAUGGACUUGUGGACCCGUUGGAGCCGGCCUGUUUCAAACGGUCCAAGUUAGGUUCGGUUCCAUUUUUUAAAACGUGACUACUAGCCCAACCUCACCCCGUUUUAUUUCCAAAAGAGUAUAGUCAAGUUUCAUUAAAUUUAGAGCCGGCCUGGCCUGGCCUGUGCCCCCUAGUAUGAACACUAUUCAGGUUUUUUUUCACAAAUCAAACUCAAAUAAAAGGGACAGUAGAAGGGACCAAAUUAUGAGAACUAACUAGAGGUGCAGAUUUUAUAGAACAAGAAAUGACAGAAACUGCUAUGGUAUAUAUUUCUUCCAAUUCAAGCAUCUGAAGUCGUUUCGUACUUUAAAAGGUGGUUAGCCUAUUUGUAUUGGUACAGAAACCGGAUGAAAAAAUUUUGUCUUCUCGAUUUGGAUUUGAGAUUUCUUCAAAUAUUGGAAAGUGACGCCAUAUUAAGAGCUAGUUGAUUAGUGAAGAUAUGAUGCAAACAAAAUAAGAAAGAUGAAUAACCAAACCAUAAACAACUCCAUAACAUGGAAAAACUAACACUUUUUUUUCUGUUACACAAUCUAAUAGAUGGAUAUUUGUUUGUACAAGUAAGAAGUAAACAACAAAAACGAAUGCCAUCACUUGGACACAUACAGGCAAUAGGUGGAAUGCUGCAGCCAGUCGCCUAAGCUCAUACUUAGGAGGCCACUUCACCCUCUUGCUUGAUUUUCUGCAGCAAAUCAAGAAAUGCUCAGGAAACCUUAUGGGCUACAAAAACCAAAGAACCAAUUUGAAUGUAGUGAUGGCAAAAUUGGUUUUACAAUCUCAUGAGGGAAAUUGUUAUUAACAGUCCAAAAAGGUCAUCUGACACACCUCUUUCCUUUAUUUUGUAAUUAGUGACAAGAACAGAUGUUAAAUAUUCAGCGUACUCCUCAGCACCAACCAUCGUAAUCUGUAAACUUGAGGCUUCUCACUGUGUGUGUGUGUGUGUGUGUGUGUGUGUGUGUGUGUGUGUGUGUGUGUGUGUGUGUGUUGGAGAUAAGUGUUGGUUUUAUCUCCAGAAGAUGAAGAACCGUUAAACAAGAGCGUCCAAAAUGACUCAAAACCAAAAUGUAUUUAUGUGAUCAGUAUAACCGCAGUUUCCUAUCGAUCAAUACGUUAUAACAGCAGUUUAACAAAGCCAAGAGAAGUAGAAUCUGGCACUAUCAUAUAGGAAUGCCUAUCAUCAUAAGGAGCAAGGCUUCCAUGAAAGUUUACACAUGUGGAGAGGUGCAAGAUAGAUUAAGGGUUAUUGUGCCAAUUCACACAUUAAAAAAAGAAAGAGAAAAAGAAAAAGAACAGUUCAGCUAAAGUCCACCUCUGUUUAUCUAGAAGCAAGAAAUGUGCAUAAGUUAUAUUAGAAAAAGGAAUGAACUUACAUCAUGGAGAUGAAACCAUCUAAGGCAUUGUUCUUCUUGGCUCUCCCCUAUGAAAUCACCCAAUUUUAUUAUUAAAAACAAGAGCUCACAGACGAGUAAAAAGCUUGUCGACCAAAGAAAAAGACAAGUAAAAAAAACUUGGGCCUUGUUUGGUUUCCUUCUCGGAUCCAAUUUUUUGUUUUCACAAAUGAUGAAUGUAGCUAAAUUCCUUCAUACUCAUUAGUCUCAAAACAAAAAAUUGGCUUCGAUUGAUAAAAGGUAUCUACUCCUUAAUGAACAGUAAUCGCCUUUUGCAUCUCCACCCCUACACUGAAUAGUCCUGGCAAUUGACAAUAAAAUAUUAUUAUUAAUAUUAUUAUUUAUAAUUAAUAUUAUAUUAUUUACUUUGUAUAAAUUAAUAUUAUAUUAUUAAUUUAUCUUUUCCUUUUGAUCUUCCCGAAACUUCUACCAUUUUUCUUUCUUCUUCCUUCCCACUUCUUCCUUCCCGAAAUUUUCUUCCUUGCACUGCAAAUUUAUGUUUUACAACUCCAAAUUUGAUUUCGUUUUUUCUUACAAAUUUCUGGAGAAGAGCACUGCAAGGUAAUUGACUUUUGGGUUUACCGCAGAUUUUGAUAUUUUGUGUGAUUUCUGUUUCGUUUUUCCAGAAUCCGGCGAGCUCCGUGACCAAUCCCGACCAAGCUCGACCACGGUUGUUACUUACAGUGGUAAAAUCUUGUUCCUUUUCAUUUUAGCAUCAUUUUUGUGCUUAAAUUACAAUUUUUAAUGGAGUUUUAAGUCGAGAUCAGAAUCGGGAUGAAUCCCUACCAAAUAUUCCGGUGUUCUCCCUUGAGGGUUCCGGUGACCCAUGUUUUAAAUCGUGGCUGACGUCGCCCAGACGUCAGCCUUGCAUCAUGUCGCCUUCGGGCUCUCGAGCUAGCAACUCGUGCCAGGCCUGUCCCUCGGGCUGCCACACGCUGGACCAAAUCCGUCAGGCUCUCUGGCCCUGUUCACCCCCUGUCCCCCGAGCAAGAGCUCCCGCUGGAGCUGCUCUUAGUGGAAAAGUAUGCAAACGGUAGAGUGAUUCUAAUUGGAGUCAAGUUUAAGAAAUGAGCCUUUUAAGGACAGCUCAUUCAUUGAGAUUUAAGGAAAGUUUGGAGGCAAGAAAAAUGUUAAUUGAAAUCAAAUUGUAAUCUGCUUAAGAUUAUAAUACCCGUUACAGAUUGUUUUUCCUUCUUCGUUAGUUGGAAUCAAAUUGUGCUAUAUUGUAUUUAAUCAAUGAAAAAUGUUAAUUUCACACUUCAAGCCUCUGGAUCUCAAUAUGAAUCUAAAAUUUGCUUAAGACAAUGGUGGGAAAAUGUAUUCAACGUUUUAUGUUCGUAUGCAAUAGUAAACUGCACAAUCACUAUAUCAGCCACUCAAACUUCACAAGUCUACAUUUCUGUAAGAAUCUAAAGGAUAAAUUGAUAUUGCAUAAUCUGCUAUUCACUUCCUAAACUCUCUCUCUCUCUCUCUCUCUCUCUCUCUCUCUCUCUCUCAUAAUGUAUCACGCAGAUGUGUAUGUAUAUUCCUAUACCCUGAUUUCUCCAGUUACAGAAAUUACAUUUAUUUUUUGUCUGCAGAAACAACUCUGGUCUUCCGUGGAAGUCAUAUGAACAACCACAGCCCGCAGUAGCCGGCCAGGCCACACCAUCUUCGUCUACAAUUAGUUGAGUAAAUUCCACAUUCAUCGUCUGUUAAACAUCUGUGGUCACUACAAUCAUCUGGGACGUGGCAAGCACUCUCAACUUGUUCUCCGCCACAUUCCCACGAAUUCAUUGUUGUAGGAGGACAUACUUGCACACACAUCGCGCUUGCUUUCCGGUCUGCACAAAUUAAAACGUCACGACCAAUAUGAAUUAGCAGGUAAUGGUAUACUGCACUGACCUCAAAGUAUCAAAUGCAGCUAAAAAUUGAAAAACAAAAAAACCAAUGGUUGUUUUCUCGCUAGUUGCACAGUGAAAGGGAAAAACAACUCUUACGUCUCAGCAAGGAAGAAACUAUGCUGAUGGUCUUCCAACUGCGUAGUUGUGACAUCUCUGAUGUUAGCAAAACCUCGUUCCACUUUGGUGUAUAGGUUCAGAGAAUUUAGAAUUGACUCCCCCACUUCAAUAUACCAUGGACCUGAUAAAAGAAACAAAACGACACAAAAAAUCAGAAAAGUUGUCACUUAGGGCCCAGAAAUGUCUGAAUUCUUACAAAAUAUCACCUGAACUUUUAGGUCCAUGUGGAAAUGAAGAUAACUAAUAAGAAAAUUAUCAAACAUUUAGUUGCUUGAUACAAGUCGAAAGUUGAUUCCGCCAAUUCAGGGCGCAGAGGAUAAUACUUUUCUGUGGGAUGCAACGUUGAUGGUCCAACAAAUACCUACAUUCUUUUACAGUUCAUAUUAGACAGUUUUCUUUUCUUUUCUUUUUUCCUUAUAAGAAAUACUGCGGUAACCUCUCUGGUAUUACUCCACACUUUUUCAAUACAUUGCAGCUGCAAUAUCGCCAACAUGAACCUAAAUCAUAGUUUGUAUCUCAGGAUUAGAAGACUCUUUCUGAGGUUGAAGUCAUUAUAGACCAGUAUGACAAGUUUUAGAUUCCCUCCCUGUAAGCCACGCCAAAAUGCCUGAAGGCUUGUAAGCUGCCAAUACGUUGCUUUUCCUGUCCUCAUAUCAGCUUCAUGGUAAUAUGCGUUACCACAAAAACUUUGCAGCCUACUCAUCUCAAUUUAAUCUUACAGCUAGAAUCCAAACUUUUAACACUUGGAAAGUACCAAUAAUGAAUUGAAUAAGGCAUUCAAAAAGGCUAGGAAGAAAUGUUGUACCAUGGACCAUGUCUGAAAUAUUUCUGCACAGCAGAAUGAAACAUCCUCCAGAACUCAUUUCCAACAAGGAUGUGGCCCUUAAAUAGAUAGUCAUCCCCUAAACGAAGAAACACAUAAUCCAACAUCAGAAACAUCAAACUCUACGCACUAAAAAUACAUUUAAGGAAUGGGCACGGCAACAGAUUGCACAAGGAAAUAUUGGCCCUUGUACUAUUUGGGAAACCCAGUAAACUACUAAAUAUACUUGUAAUGCGGUGCAUUAAAGUUCUCAAAGCCCCGAUGAAACCUACCAGCUCCAAUUCCGGAAGAAUACACAAUCCAUUCACCAGUUGAUAUAUCCAGCGUUGUACCGAGUAAAUUCAACGAACUGCACAUGCCCCAUAAUUCACGAAGAGCACAUAAAGCUGCCGAUUCAUAUUUGGGGUCUCCAAUCAAUCGGGACAAUGCUCCCAUUCCCAGAAUUAGAGAACCUGAAUUCAUACGAAAAAUCAUGAGAUUCAGGAAAGUCAAAUUUAUUGAUGUCCUCAUCUGAAUGCUGCAAAAGAAAGCCCCUCACCACACCCUGAAGUGCUCAUUUCAGUAGUCUCAUUCUCCAUCACUCCAUCCACAGAAUUUAGCGUUGAUGCGGAGUCAUAUAUCCUUCUUACAAAGAAAACCACCAAACAAUUUUGUAUAGUUUUGAAACUUGAACUCUUGAAAAGAUUAUGCAAGAUACAACCAAGUAAACGUAAUUGUAUAGACUCAUUCGGUUGCGCUCCCAUAAUCGAUAGUGGCUUUUAGGUCUUGACUCAUUCGGUUGUACAUUCUGGUUGAAUUCCAGCCCAUAUACCUCGAAAAAGGAUCAACUUGGAACAUGAUAUUAAAGUCAUGUUGAGAUAUAAUAUUUUGUUCAAAGGCCUGACCUAUCCGGAAGAAGUACUUCAGUCUCUUCUGAGAACUCAUGAGGAAAGGGUGUCUAAUGAGUUUUUCAACAUAGCUUUCGAACCUAUGAAAACAUAUUUAGAAGGACAGAGAGCAAUACAUAUGUUAGGUGUACUUAUUGCAUAAAUGUUGUCUUGUUCCAGGUGACUAAGGAACGCAUGGUUAAUUACUCACUCUCUUGUUUUUGAAUUUGAUAUCAAGGAUUGAGAAACAUUUAAAGCACAUUUAUUUAUUCUCUCCUCCAUUGAUAUCAAAUGUAACGGUGAGUGACCAUGAAAUCUUGGUACCAAUAGAGAAUGGGACUCAUAGCCAUUAUAUCAAAGCAUUCUUACUCUAUAGGUUUGUCGAAGAAAUCCAGAAACAAGUUUAGGUCCCUCCAUGUCUUUGGCAACCUUUCCCUUAGAAAGUCUCUGAAUUGUAUGAAGUCGUUCCUCAUGCUUGCUUUAGACAUGGUAGCAUUCUGAGACUUGAUAUUUAUAAGUUUUAAUUCCCCGUCUUGAAUGAUAUAACUGGAAUGCAUGUCCAAACCAGAGUGGGUUAGUUUCUGUUUGUGGGUGGACGCAAUGCUCUUCAGGAUUCUCCUGCAACAUUUAAACAACAAAAGAAGAAAGGUAAUUACUUGAUUGAUGCAAAUGUAUUCAAAAGAUAAUUCAACAGAAGAAGAAUAAUUACUUGAUUGAUUUGAGCCACCACAUUUAUCAAAUCCUUAUCAAAAAUGUUAAGUGAUAAAAAAAUUAAAAAAAUUAAGGGGCACUUGUUCCUACUAAAGAAGCAGAUGCAAUAGAGGCAUAGGUGGUUUAAGAACCAAUCUGGAACCAGUUGUUUACCUUGUCGGCUCGGAACCAAAAGCAUCAGUAUAAGUCCCCCAGUUGCAGUUUAUUCUAUUGAUAUAAAGCUAGCUAGAGUAUAGAUGGAGGCAGCAGAAGCAGUGGUUGAAGCCCCCAAAUGGGAACCUAUCGAACGAGAAUUAUUAGUAGUGCUGCUCCCCAAAUGGAGAAAGGGCAUUAGAGCAAUAGACGGAAUGAGUCUUAGUUUCAAUAUUAAUAAUUCUCGUUUGAUAGGUUCCCAUUUGGGGGCUUCAACCACUGCUUCUGCUACCUCCAUCUAUACUCUAGCUGACUCUAUAUCAAUAGAAUAAACUGCAACUGGGGGACUUAUACUAAUGCUUUUGGUUCCAAGCCGACAAGGUAAACAACCGACUCCGGAUUGGUUCUUAAACCACAUAUGCCUCUAUUGCCUCUGCUUCUUUAGUAGGAACAAGUGCCCCUUAAUUUUUUUAUCACUUAACAUUUUUGAUAAGGAUUUGAUAAAUGUGGUGGCUCAAAUCAAUCAAGUAAUUAUUCUUCUUCUGUUGAAUUAUCUUCAUAUCUUUUGAAUAAAUUUGCAUCAAUCAAGUAAUUACCUUUCUUCUUUUGUUGUUUAAAUAUUGCAGGAGAAUCCUGAAGAGCAUUGCGUCCACCCACAAACAGAAACUAACCCACUCUGGUUUGGACAGGCAUUCCAGUUAUGUCAUUCAAGACGGGGAAUUAAAACUUAUAAACAUCAAGUCUCAGAAUGCUAUCAUGUAUGAAGCAAGCAUGAGGAACGACUCCAUACAAUUCAGAGACUUUCUAAGGGAAAGGUUGCCAAAGACAUGGAGGGACCUAAACUUGUUUCUGGAUUUCUUCGACAAACCUAUAGAGUAAGAAUGCUUUGAUAUAAUGGAUAUGAGUCUCAUUCUCUAUUGGUACCAAGAUUUCAUGGUUACUCACCGUUACAUUUGAUAUCAAUGGAGGAGAGAAUAAAUAAAUGUGCUUUAAAUGUUUCUCAAUCCUUGAUAUCAAAUUCAAAAACGAGAGAGUGGGUAAUUAACCAUGCGUUCCUUAGUCACCUGGAACAAGACAACAUUUAUGCAAUAAGUACACCUGACAUAUGUAUUGCUCUUUGUCCUUCUAAAUAAGUUUUCUUGUUUUCACAGGUUCGAAAGCUAUGUUGAAAAACUCAUUAGACACCAUUUCCUCAUGAGUUCUCAGAAGAGACUGAAGUACUUCUUCCGGAUAGGUCAGGCCUUUGAACAAAAUAUUAUAUUUAAUAUCAUGUUUCAAGUAGCGGAUCAAUUCCAACGAGCCUUUCAAACUAGAUCCUUUUUUGAGGUAUAUGGGCUGGAAUUCAACCAGAAUGUACAACCGAAUGAGUCAAGACCUAAAAGCCACUAUCGAUUAUGGGAAAAGUCGUUGGAUAACUUACGAAGGUCAUCUGUUAGUUUCGCUUGUUAUGUUUUUGAGGAAUGUCUAUGUGCACCGUGCCAAUUCUGGGAAAUAUGAGGUUCUUGACAAGGAGGUCAAUAGAUUAUAUCCUGGAUUUUUAAGCAAUUUGCACGAGUUAUUGCCAUCAAAGGAAGAACUGAAUCAACCAACCGUCCAAAUGUAAGCCGAAGGAGAAGCAGGGCAAGGUCCAAGCACGAGGUUAUUACAGGGGUAGUUUUGGAUGAGAUAGGCAUUCGCUAGAAUACGAGGGGUUUUUUUUUUCCCUCAGGCUAGAAUUAUAGAAUAGGAUAAUGCUCGUUGCAGUAUUAAUUUAUGUUUGGCAAAAAUAUUGUUCAAUUUAUUACAAAUGCUUUUUUUUCUUUUAAUCUCAGUAUUAAUUUAAACUUACGCCAGUAUUGAUCACAGUAUCAGUAAACAUAAUUCAAAUCAUAAGCGAGUAAUGAGGGAUUAAGAUGCUACUGCACCUGUGAUUCACUAUGGGUCUGCAUGUCCAGCAAUAUCAUUGUCCCUUGAGUUUGCUUUCCUCAUCACUAAUGUUCUCAUCGCGCUCCUCGUCUGGUGUUGUAUUGGUAAUGUGUUCCUUCUUUGCAUGUCGCUCACAGUACUCUGGCGUCCACAUACCACAAUGAAAAAAUGUAAACAGAAUACUUUACAUGGCAAAAAAAUCACGCGAUAAUAAAGAAGAAUUUCCCGCUAGUUUAUGCUCUGUGAGCAACCAAGGAAGAAUAGCUUCUAACUUCUAAAAAUACUCCCUGUAUAACAUCUUUGAAGCAGAAGGGACUAGCUCUGAAAAUUCAGUGGAACCUUGUAAGCAAGUAUUAGGCCAAAAGCAUUGAAUAAGGCACCGGAGAUAGACUAGUAAUUAGUGUCAUGGUCUGUGGACGGACCAUCUUGCAGAAGUCACACUCACAGCUAUGAGACGAUAUUGGAAUCCCAACUCUAGACGCGGUCAAAGGAACCAAGAAAAAGUAGGGAUAGUAUGGAACCAUCUAAUUACAAUCAAGGGCUCUUUCACACACAUGCUCAUGUUUGGAAGGUCCACCCUCUAAUAUACUUAUGUUAUUCGCAGGAGAGUUUGUGGUGAAGGUUCAAAAAUUUAGGCAUUGUUUUUUUAUUAGUUUGAGCAUAUUUAGUGAAAGAAGGGUAUAUUAAUUGCAGAUGAAGUUAUACCUUUGACCUUCUGAUCAUAGAGUUUUCAGUCCUUCAUCAUCAAUGAUGCUGCAUCACCGUUGAGCGGACCUGAAAGAUUUGGAUAAAGCAACAGUUGUGGAAGGAAAACUUCAAAAACUUUUAAAAGGUCUGCAUCAAGAAAAUCCAUCACCAUAUAUGUGAGAAAUCCAAGAAGACCAAAUGAAGAAGAAAAAAACAAACAAGAAGUGAAACAGAAUGGAACCGCAAUACAUCACCGACUCGUAAAAGGGUAUAAUGACACAAAACCAACAUUUCAGCGGUAUAUUGAAAAAAGAGAGUCAGAAUUUUACUAAAAUGGGAUGAUAAUUACCAAACAUUGGACUCCAUGAUUGGUUAAUUACAUCUUAAGCAGACAGAAGCAGAUGUGCAAUUACGAAAGAAAAAUAAAACAGUCGGUACAUACAAGAUUAACAACAAUAAACAAUUACUCAAGUCCUGUUGCUUACUAAUGAAAUUAAUUAGAAACCAUGCUUUCAAAACAACAGACUUACAAAAAGGAUUUGAUAAUCAACCGCAGGAUAAUAGCAUUCUUAAUUUCUAAAUAAACUUGAUACUUCCGCCCUGUUUGACCCAAAUUUGCCGGCGUGCCACUAGAAGCAGGGGCGUCAGACAUUACUUUCUUUUGAACCAUGGAAUUCCACAUUGAAUUCAUUUAGCCCAUCGUUUAUUGUCUCCACGUUAUAGUCACUCAGCAGCCUGAAAGUCAUUGAGAAAAGAAAGGAGAACAAAAGCAUUAGAAAUAGUGUUCCAAAGCUUUAUAUCAUACCAGAGAUGAAGUUAGCAACCUGAUUUUACAGCUACCAAAAAUCAGAGAGACAAUCUUGAAAUAUCACAAUCAUGGGAAAUCUUAAACUCCACAACAGGAAUUCAACUUUAAAAUUGGGUCAUCACAAUAUGAUCAAACAAAUGCAAUUCCACCGUUUUCUGCACAGAAUAAUAAAGAUAAAAACUUUGAGCAAUAAUGGGAUUCCAAAAGUUCUUCUUUCCAAAUUAUUAGACAUACCCAGUGAGGCAUUAUAGCAUUUCACCAAAAACUUUCAUUGAAAAAUUGAAAGAUUUUGUGAAUUAAUGUCAUAAGUGCUUGUGAAGUCUAACAAUCAAAAGCAAGCUGAAAUCCUUUGAAGAUCUAAGACCUACCCAGAAAACCAUAUACAAAUGAAAAUUAAAAAAAAAAAAUAUAUAUAUAUAUAUAUAUAAAGAGAGAGAGAGAGAGAGAGAAUGAGAACUGGGUAUCUUAACAAGAUCUACUUAAUUGAAGAUUUUCCCGAGAUCCAAACAGAAAAUUGAGAAAAUUUGGAAAUGGAGAAGAAAAUGCCGGGGGAGCGAAUGUCGACAUAUUCAGAGUUCAGAGCCACGUAUUCAUGGUUGUAAAGAUAAAUUUGGUCGAUAAUUAUUUUUUUUAGUGGUGAUUCAUUUCUGUUCAUUUUGUUCUUCUAGUUUUUUUUUUAAGAAAAUGGUUUGAAAAUGUUGAGUUUUAAUGAUAAGGACAAAAUAAAGGGUAAAGUGAAUAGUAUUAGGUUUAACUUUUUAGUGUAAAAAUAUAAUUUUUCGUUAAAGUGAACAGUAGUGGACUUUUCGUUAAAGUUUUUUUUUUAUUUUUUUUUUUUUUUUAUCAUUCGUUGAUUUCAAUCAGUAACAUCAAACUACUAUGUUACCAACAUAAAGUUAAACAUACAUCAACAAACCCUAAUUGAAAAAAAAAACCCAAUCAGAACCAUGAUUUAAAGGUCUCACUCUAAUCUUCCCCGGAGGCUGAUUCGUUCUUGGUGCUGUGCUUCCUGGCAUACCUCCGGUUCCUCAGAAACUUGGGGUCAUCCUUUUGGUGGAAGUGUGGCGGUGCCUCUUAGGCUUCUUGAUGUAUGUCAAUCUUCUGGGGCCUUGCGGGACUGGUGUCGACUUGGCCAUCUCCGAAAGAGAAUGAUGGAUUUAGCAGCCCUUUAUGGGGGGUUUAGGCUGAGAUUUUUUUGGGGUUUUCAAAGCGGUCAAGAUGGGGUGGCCGUGCUGGUGAGCUGCGUUUGGGAGAGAGGGGCGCGGCAAGAGAGUGGAGAAAUAUGUUAUAUUCUGAGGGUUUGUUAUUUUUCUAUAAAUGUCUUUAUUUAUAGUAAGGAGGGAGGAGAAGAAUUUUCAUCCUUUAAGGAAAUAUAAUCAUAAUAAGAAAGUAAAACUAAUGAAAAGAGUUUGAAUAUAAUAAGAAUAAAAUAACCAGUAAGCAAAUCUAUUUAGGAUUCGCACAAUCAACUUUAAUAUAAUACCGAAACGCACAUUUUUUCUUCUCGAUGUAUCCUUGUUUUUUAUCAUUGAAUUAAACAAGAUAUAUACAACUAUAGAAAAAGAAAAAUAAAGUGUGCAUAUCAUUUCACUAAUUUAUUUCCCGUUAAAAAUUAUUGAUGAUUGGUUUUCUUUUCAUCCUCAAGUAUGGUAAAUUGUCGUAGUUAUUUACAUUUCCUUACCUUGUUCGUUAAACUACAACAUUUUAUUUUUAUUUUAUGUUUUUCCUUAAAUGUUAAUUUCUUUUUAGAGAAAAUUACAAUCCCUACAAAUUUUCUAUAUUAUUUAAAUUAAAGAUUUGAUUAAAAUGCUUUUACUAAUAGCCACCUCAGCUUCUCUAUUAAGUUAAAAUACAUGUCAUUAUUGUACUUUGUUUAAUUUAAGUUAAUUUUUUAAUUUAUCCUUAUUUAAGGAAGAUGUUAGUAAUUAAACUAUAUUUUCUCUUCUUCUAGAUACGUUUUUUCGAUCAUUUUUUUUUUGUUCUACAAACAUUUAAUAUUAUCUUCUUUUUUUCCAAAUGGUUUUGUUUUUAAUGGUGUUGAUGCACAAAACCAGAGAGGUCUUGGAACAACACAAAUCCAACCGUGAAUCUGCAAGAAAGUAAAGAACACAAGAUGUAUCGUGGUUCACCCCAAUGUUUGGGUUACGUCCACAGUGAUGUUGAUUGUAUUUGUCUAUAACUGUAUGUAUGGAUUACAAGUGUGAGGGGGAGUCCCCCAGAGAAAGAGAGAGUUUGAGAGAGCUUUGCUCUGAAUAUGAGAGCCUCUGUUUGGGGAUGUGAGGCUUGAGGAUUGUGAGGGUGAGGAGUCCCUUUUAUAGACUAAGGGCUCCUCCCCUUUUACAUAGAUCAUGGGCUCAAUGUCUAGAAGCCCAAGUAAUGAGGCCCAAUAUAAUAUGGUACUAACAAAUGAUUUUUUUUUUUCCAAACAGUUGGUAGUUUAACAUAAUAGUUCCCGUGUAAUUUUUUUUUUCAUAAGCGAAUUUGAACCACAUUAUUGUGGCGCGUCAAUUGUGAGGCCUAGUCCACUCUCCUAUAAUAUCACUUGAUCAAAAAACAAUAUACUUUAAACUAUAUUGAAAGAAAAAAAAAGAUCUUAAAUCAUAGAUAAUUAUUGCUAAAUUGUAGCAAUAUUGUGAAGAUAAAUUGAAUCUAAUCAACUUUUUUUUUUUACAAUUAUCUCUAAAGGACGAGAGUGUAAUCAAAAUGCUAGAUUUUAGGGAAUUUGUUUCAAUAUGAUGUGCACUUUAUUUUUAGGAAAACUAAUAAAAAUGACUUGAAAACUUUGAGUUUUAACGAUAAGGACAAAAUAAAGGGUAAAGUGAAUGGUACCAGGAUUGACUUUUUAGUGUAAAAAUGUGGUUUUUCGUUAAGAUGAACAGUACCAGGAGCUUUUCUUUAAAGUUCCAUAUAUUUUUUGUUUCAGAUUUUAGUGAAGAUGGGUAGUGGUAUGUUAUGUAAUUUUGGUAAGGGAAAUGAUUAUACAUAUAGUUUUAUCAAAACUUAAUUAAAUUCCUAAAAGGCAUAUAGUUUUAUCAAAAGAUCUUCUUUUUUUUUUCAUUAUAAUUCUAUACGUUAAACUAUUAUUAUAUUUUUGGCAAAAUGUAAUUACCACGAAAGCAAAACUAAUUUAAGUUACAUUGAAAAAACGAACAGAUAAGGUUUUGUGGAAUAAAGUGUUGGAUUAGCGGGAUCACUGGGAUGUGCAUUUCGAAUAAAUAUUGGUAAAUAGAGUCUGUCAUAAACGAGAAUAAUUAUUUUAAUUUGUUUUUUUUUUUUGUCAAAUAAUUUUUUUUUGUUGAAAAUAGUUUUUUUUUUUUGGUUGAAAAUAAUUAUCAAAAACUAAAGAGGAAAAAGGAUCGAGAUUAGGGCCCGCGGCUAAACGAGAAAACCGAACUUUGUUUCUGCCCUCACACAUGGAGAGGACUCUCGCUGGAUUUUUAAUCAAAUAAUUGAAUGAAAUCAAUUCUUGAUUCUAUUUUUAAUAAAAUAAGUAAACUAACUCCUUACUUGAUUUGAUUUGCAUUGCCAAAUCUUUUCGCUGCUGAAAAAUAUUACAAAAGAUUUUUAUUGCUGUCCCAAUCUCACGUCUCUGAUUUGAGGUUUAUUGGAUGCCAAUUUCCAACAUGAAUUUAUCUGGAACCUAUGGUGUACUAUUAUCGAACACCCACAAAUAUUAUAGCAUGAAUGUGUUGGUAACAUUUGGCGGCCAUAUUAAGUUACGACGAAAAGUUUCUCGACUAAUCUUUGUAACCGAAUUGCCAAAACUUUUCACAUCCUCAAGUUUACAUCGAUCGAGCAUCCAACAUUUGGGGAUGAAGAGCAAAUCAUAUAUGAAAUGAGAACUCGAAACAGCGCUACAUGUGUACACAACUUGAGUUACGAACAAGCCAUGAUUAAAUCAUUGAUAUCAUUUAACGCUAGCAGCAAUAUUUGUGUUGUAAGAACAUGAUCAAAAAAAGAAAAGAAAAAAAAACUUAAUAUUACAACACAAUGAUCAUCCUCCAUUCUUUUUCCUUGAAAAUUGUUAUUUAUUUAGCGCAAGCUAUGCAACUCACGUAUACCUGAUUUUGCUUCAACAUGAAUGAAACAACAAUGUAAUUGUAAUAAUGAGUAAAACUAAUAACAUAAUACAAUUUAGCUCGAUAUUUUCACAUAUACAUUUUUUUACGUAAAAAUUCAUAUAAUUUGUCCUCCCGUCAUUCUGAUGCAAACAAUUUCUCUCAGCCUUGUCAUUAUGGAUCCGUGUUUGUUCUAUCGGCCUCCUUUAUUUUCUCCAGUUUUGAUAUUUCUCUCCCCAUUAUGCACUUCUUCUUCUUACUGCCCUUGUUAUUUUUUGGUUGCCGCUUCUUUAUUUCCGGUGUUGGAUUGUCUAUCGGUGUUGGCAUGUCCUCUUCCCUUUCCAUCGUUCGUGACUGUGACUGUGAUUGUGACCAAUCGGUGGUAAUGGCCAGAGCCACACAUACAAGUCCCAACUGGAACGCUAGCGUCAUGUGGAGAAAUCUUGCCAGCAGGGCGACAACGAUUGCUGACACAUGAGGAAGAAUCGCGCGCCAUUGAAGGAACCCUGAAAACAAUAUUUAAUGGCGUUAACAAUUUAAUACACAAAUUGAGCGAACACAACGUCAAGUAUGAAAAAAUCUCGAAAUUCGUAAAACUAAAAAGAAUUGAAAAAAUCAUACAGAGCGCAUGAAAAGGCACACAUGGAAAAGAUAAAUUGGAGAAAACCGCCCUAAAACUCGACUUGCGUAAAACUCAAAAGAAUAAAAAAAUCUUACACAUGGUCAGACAGUCCAAAAGCAAAGUUUGAGAGCAAAUAAAAACAAGCGGUCAAGCGGCCGAAGCAGCCAGGCUCAAUAUUUAUAAGGCACUAUUCUUGCACACUUGGUAUUUAGGGUUCAAAAUAAGUAAGAAAUAUAGGGUUCAAAAUAAGUAAGAAAUACUGGUCCAAAAUAAGGAUAGUAUUUAGGGUUCAAAAUAAGUAAGAAAUACUGGGUCCAAAAUAAGGAUAGUAUUUAGGACAGAAGAGUAAAAAAACUAGGGUUUGCAAUAAGGAAAAAAUUAAGGCACAACAGUAAAAUGUUAGGGUCCAAAUCAAGGAAGAAAUUAUGGCAGAAGAGUAAAAAACUAGGGUCUGCAAUUAAGGCACAAUAAAAUGUUAGGGUCCGAAUCAAGGAAGAAAUUAUGGCUGAAGAGUAAAACUAGGGCAUAAGAGUAUUAACGAAUCAUGUAAUUCCAUCAUCUAUUCCUUUUAAUAUUUUCUCAAUUUAUAAAAUAUUUUUUUAGUAUAUCGAUAUUUUUACAUUAGGGGAAAUAGAAAUUCGUCAAAGCCACAUAAUGUAUAAGCUAAUUUGGUAUCAAAUUUGCCAUCUACAGUAUUCGAACUUAGGAUAUCUCACUUCUAAGUAAAAAGGAAUACCACAAAACCGUGCUACUUAGUGACAAUCAACUAAUGAAAUUACUUAAAUUUUAGGUAAUGUUACAAAAUUUAAAUGCAUGUGAAAUAAAAAGAGUUGUGUACCUAAUUUUAUAUUUCUUACACCUCUCGCACCUCGCACCUGCAAAAUAACCCGUCCUCCCCUCGUACCGUAGUGGUUUUCUUUCUGAAGGGAAAAAAAUAAAAUAAAAAGCAGCAAAUUAACCCGGCUUCCUCGGUCCUCUGCUUCUUCACCCUCCAUCUCCGAUACGAAUCCCAAUCCGCACAGAAGCCGUUUUGCCGCGCAAAUGCGCGACAUGGAUUCUUCUCUUCAUUCUGAUCUCUCUCAUCCUCAUCAACUUAUCGACCUCCGCAUCGCCAUCCGAUCCUCGUCGGGCAGCUAAGAAGCGACGCCUCAGAGAUAAAGUCCGUAAGGUGUAAGCAAACUCGAAUUUCACCAGUUUCCGUUUUUCUUCGAUGUUUGUAAAUUUAGCUUAAUGGGUAUCCGUAAUAUUGAUCAGAAAUCUGGGGUUUUUAGCAAGAGUUUCUGGUUUUACUGAUUUGAGUUUGUUUUGGCUGAUUCUGUUAGUUUUUAUUCAUUAUUUCUUGUAGGUUUUGCACUUUCGUUUGUAUGAUGUUCAAACUGGUUUCUUGGUAAAAGUUUCACCGACUCCCAUGGUGAACUUGGAAAUCUGAAAGUGGCUAUGUAUCUGUAGAUAAAUGAAUUAUGAUUAAUUGCAACUUGCAAAAGUAAAUUAAAAUGUUCCCUUACCCUAUUUCAGCUUGAAUACUUACCACAAGACUAUAGUGGAUCCGCUCUGACACUUAUCGAAUCGUUGUCCAGUUUUGACAGAUUAUGGGCUGGUUUGGUAUUGCUGUGCUUUGAAAAAAAGCUGAUGUGAGAAUGAGCGACUGUAAUGUGAAAAUAAGCAAUUGUGAAAUAAAUCAGCAGAGUGUUUGGUAAACGUUUUUGUAAAAGUGCUUUUGGAAAAAAAAAACAGUCUAAUAGUGGAUCUUUUCAUUAAAGAAGCACUGUAGCUUCGAGUGCUUUGAAAAAAAGCCAUUUUUUCAAAGCUACAAAUAGCAGCUUCAUCUUUUUCCUUUGAUUUCAGCUUAUUCUCACAGCAGCUUCCAAAAUAAGUUUUUUUUUUUCAGUUUACCAAACACCUAAAACCCUCACAGCUUUUUUUCAUGGAUGCUUUUUUUUUAAGCACCUCACUCCCAAACUAGGUCUAUGUCGCAUAUACGCUUCUGUUAUUCUGUAAUCUAAAGUACAUAUGCUUUAAGUUAUUGCAAAAAAAUUCAUAUAAUUUGUCCUCCCGUCAUUCUGAUGCAAACAAUUUCUCUCAGCCUUGUCAUUAUGGGUAACAACACUGACUUUGAAAGUGCAAUUCUUUGGCUUUCCUCAAGAAUCUGAAAUUCAAUGUCAAUGCGAGGGUACAUCUCUUUGAGGUAUCUGUUGACGAGCUUGUCGAAAAGCUUGUUUUGGUUAAGUUAUUCUGAUAUUCAAAAGCAAUAUUUAUUGUCGUUCAUGUUCUCUUUUUCACUUGAUUGCUAUUUGUAGUGCAACAUAAGGUACUUGGAGGGUUUGUUUCCGCUCAUUUACUUGCGACUGAUUCUACAAACAGGCUGGGUCAAGGAGUUUACAAGAAUCAGCUGCUUACCUUGGCUGAGGACUUAGGGAAACGCUUCCUACCUGCAUUUAACACACCCACUGGAUUGCCAUAUGUAUGGAUUUACUUAAAGGUAACGUCUGAGGCAUGCUGAGCUCCAGUGUUUAAUUACAUGGUGAUUUUUGCGAUGCAUGCAUGAUACGAUUCUUUCUACUUCAUUAUCAUCAGUCUCAAGAUACAGUUACGUGUACUUGUAUCUUGCAUAAUCAUUUCAAGAGUUCACCUUUCAAGUUUCAAAACUAUACAAAAUUGUAUGGUGUGGUUUUCUUUGUAAGAAGGAUAUAUGACUCCGCAUCAAUGCUAAAUUCUGUGGACCGUGUGGAUGGAGUGAUGGAGAAAGAGACUACUGAAACGAGCACUUCAGCGUGCGGUGAGGCUUUCUUUUGCGGUAUUCAGAUGAGGACAUCAAUAAAUUUGACUUUCCUGAAUCUCAUGAUUUUUCGUAUGAAUUCAGGUUCUCUAAUUCUGGGAAUGGGAGCACUGUCCCGAUUGACUGGAGACCCGAAAUAUGAAUCGGCAGCUUUAUGUGCUCUUUGUGAAUUAUGGGGCAUGUGGAGUUCGUUGAAUUUACUCGGUACAAUGCUGGAUGUAUCAACUGGUGAAUGGAUUGUGUAUUCAUCUGGAAUUGGAGCUGGUAGGUUUCGUCGGGGCUUUGAGGUCUUUAAUGCACUGCAUUACAAGUAUAUUUAGUAGUUUACUGGGUUUCCCAAAUAGUACAAGGGCCAAUAUUUCCUUGUGCAGUCUGUUGCCGCGCCCAUUCCUUAAAUGUAUUUUAAAUUAGCUGUUGUGCGAGCAUUCUGGCCCGUCCCGUUUCUUAAACUUGGAGCAAUUGGCUCCAAUUGGAAUCGCUCUACCGUUUGCAUACUUUUCCACUAAACUCAAUUUCAAUUAAACUAGAUAAAAAGCGAAAUAUAUAGCAUCCAUAUUGGUUCAUUCUCUGUCAUUUUGAAUUUCUGAGACUCCGCCUCCUACCCCUCCUCUGUCCUCUCGACUCGAACCCUCUCAUCUCUCUCGACUCUGUCUCUCUUCAGCCCACCUUCUUCGAGUCUCGACCCCGGCCAGCUACCGCACCAUACCCUCUCUGCCUCGACCACAUCACAGACAAACUACACACCUGCUGCUAUCUCUCUCUCAUUCUCUCGAUCGAGCGACUCUCGAGCCCAAAAUCGAGGUAUUUGUUUUGAAUUAUUGUCGAAAUCUAGGGUUUUGGUUUGUAUUAUUCUUUGAUUUAAAAUUGAAUUUGGAUUUUUGUAAUUGGAUUUCUUUAUUUGAUUAGUUUUGAAUUUCUGAGCAUGUUGGAUUUCUACAAUUGUAUGUUGAGUUUCUGAGCAUGAUUUGUCCGUUUCAUAUAUUGGAUUUCUGAGCGUGCAUGUUGAACUAGUACCGAAAAAUAUAUACGGUUUUGAAUUAGUUUUGAAUUUCUGAGCAUGCCUCUUGGUGCCCUAAGGUUAGAUCACGGUUCAAAAUAUAUACGGUUUUCACGUGUUCCGAUUAUAUAUAUUCGAAUUUACAAGAUUUUAUUCAGUUGCCCUUUUGAAGUUUCGAUUAAAUUUUUGGGCGACAGGGUUAAUAUUUCUGGUGGAUCAAUGUUUAACCUGUUGUAUUGUAUUAAAUUUCUGACAGGGUUAAUAUUUCUGGUGGAUUAUCGUUAAAUCUGUAGUAUUGUUUUUCAGCACAUCCAUGGACAUGGAGGGGGAAUUAAACUCUGUAUAUGUGCUGGUGCGUUAUGUUUCUGGUCCAUAUAGAUGUGGAUUAUAUGAAAUAAAAAUCCAAAAGGGAGGACAAGUGAUGGGGCUAGGCAAUGUACUCGACCCUGUCGUCACAUUCUUUGAUAGGAGUACUUUUGUGGUCCCAAACGAAUAUUUUCGAGUAGAAGGUGCGAGUUUGGCUUUGGAUACUGCCACCGUGACAACCAAGUUGCCAGAAAGUUCUUCUAACACCAAAUUUUACCUAUUGCUGAAUGAAGGGCUCAACUGUUUCAAUCGCUUUGUCAACACCCGUUACAAGUACGACUCGUAUAGUGGUUAUACGUUUGACACAGGGACUAGGUCAUUAGAAACGUUAAAGCGUCCUCUAGCAUCUAAGCCAGUUUCAUUUUUUAUGUCUGCUUAUGGCAAGCUCUAUAACAUUGCAUCCCCAGUAUGCUUCAUAAAGAUGCCCGACACAUUGUUUGAGCGUUAUAAUCCUAAUUCUGAAUCUUGGGAAUCUCUCCCCCAUUUUGAAUAUUCUCGUGACAAGGCCCACAUGGACAUAACAGGUUACGCGGUUUGUUACGGCUGUAUUUUGGUUUCACUAGGUCGUAGUCGAGUUGAGCUAAUGGUUUAUAAUAUAGAUAGUAAUACUUGGCAUCAAGUCAAUAUUGCUAGAAGUGAUGCUUAUUAUUGUGGUUUUCGGGGCAGGGCCGUGGUUGUGGACAAUACUAUCUAUGCCUUAUCUAUACAGUGCGGGAAGGUUAUAGCUUUCUCUCUCAUGAUAGAUUCAGAGGAAGAUGGCCGUAUUAUCUAUUUUUUAGAGAAACCAGUCUUCUUUCCAGGAUUGAAGAGUAGGGUUAAGGAGGAUAUUAAAUAUGGUCACGGUUUUAAUCCGACCGAGUAUUUGGUUCAUUUGGGGAAGUUGGAGUUUUGUCUUCUCCAAGCUGCUGCUACCUGCAUAGAAGACGAGUCUCAAGAGCUGUUUGUCACCACAUUCAAAAUUGUCCAUGAUGGAACCAUGAAUAUCAAGAAAUUAGAUUCUAGUGUUUGUGAUUUGCGCAUUAAGGGUUAUGGGCUAUUUGACAUUAAUUUCAGCUUCACACCGUAAGUUUCUUCUUGACCGUUCCUUUCCUUGUUAUUUAAAUUUUAGUGUUCGAUAUUCUGUUGUAUUUUACGGAUUGCAACUUUAUUUGAUUUCUGAGUAUUUCGUGCCUCAGAGGAUGCAGGGAUCUUGAACCCAGAAAAGAGGAGAUUCUUCAGAUGACUAGGAAAAAGGUGAUGAAUAAAUGUGUUUGUAUGACAUCCUUUUAUUUGUUAAUACCUCUGUAGCAAAAGAAAUAAAUCGUGAACGUGUCUUAGGACUCUUAGGUUUUUUACCCGUCUUUGAGCUCUAGUGUUUUAUAGUAAAUUUGUGUUUCACAGGAGACUGCCAAGAACAACGCCGCCUCGGAUUCUAAAGUCCAUGAUGUGGGCAUUGAGGGUAGUGAUAGAUUCAUGCUGUAAGUUCACACCUUAAAGCUCCUAACUUAAACUAUGCAAACUUCUUGCUUCUUGGUAACAGAGACUUGGGGAAAGGGAUGGUAGAGUUGUUUAAUAUUUAAUAGGAUUGACAUAACAUAUCUAGCAGCUCUCGGUGUGAUUAAAUCUUAGUGGAAUUUCUGGAAUGAUAGGACUUGUGGUCAUUUUAGCUCCAGAAGAUGAAGAACCUUAAAAGAGAGUUUGGGAUGACUCAAGCAGAAAUGUAUCUACGUGAUAGAGUAUAAGAAUCCCCUGUUUUGAUAGAUAAGCAGCUAUAUAUUUUUCUUAAGAAAACCGGACGCUGUGAGGUAAUUAAACUCAAUAUUAGGAGAAAUUUCUGUCUUAUUUUUUUGGCUUCAAAGGAUAGAAGCCAUGGAGAUGAUGGUGUGUAGUCGGUGGUGAGUAUUAUCUGAUGACUAUUUAUCUUAUCCGACUGGAAGCUGCCAAACGAGACCUUAGUGAGAUAAGGUUUUGUUGUCAUCGUUGUUGUUGGACUUUUUGUUAAAAUUGUUUUCCGAGUAGUGGCUGAUCCCUAACUGAGAAUUUCUUUUUUCCCUGCAGUCUACCGAGAAAGUUGGUUCUAGGCAAGUGCCCUUUUAAAUUUGAUGUUUCGCGACUGGCCGUGAUUCCAUCGACUCUGCAUUUGAUGGUGGCAGUAUUUGGUUUAUGUCUUUUCUUCGUGCUAGGCCAACAAAUAAUCAGUUAAUUGGGUUGUGUAACCAGAAAAGCGUCAGAUUGUGAAUUAAUUGCCUUGAGUUAAUUACUUGGCUCGCUUUCCAAAUAUUUUGGAGAGAGCUGUUUGUGAUUUUGUACGUACAUUGUUGCGUUUACCUUGGUUAUUCAUCCUAAUUGUUUGUGUUAUUCAAUGUUGGAAUUCUCAAUUGUAUUUUGUUUUUUGGGUAAUACUAGAGAGACUAAAUUUAUGGACAAAAUUUUGUAAACUAAAUUACAGGAAGUUGACGAUUGGAUUAUUGUUUAAGCGUUGAUAAACAUGCUUUCUCCUAUUGAUGACACAUUAUUUGAUUUGCAAAUUUAGUCUUGGUAGCGUUGCCUUUUGUUUCUUCAUCAUACUCUGGAAGGGCCCCGCACUCGCAGUGUGUGUGAGGAGCUUCAACCGUCAUUGUGUUUUUAUUGUUGCAUCCAUCCUUCCAUGGUUUAUUUGUGGACAAUCAAUCAAAAACAAAAACUUUGGUCAAGAUGGAAAAGAAAACUUUCAAGGGCCCCGCGCUUGUUCUUGUGGCACCAAGCAUGAACGGCGGCAACUCAAGCAGUUUCUCAUGGGGCUUAAUAAGUCUUUCUCGAUAUUCGGGAUCAAAUUCUCUUGUUAGACCCUUUUCCCACUGUUCGCCAAGCUAGCUCCUCGGUUUCUCAGGCUGAAAAACAGCGGUCGUUGGGCUCCCUUGCAUCAAUUUCAGGGUGAUAGGAUCAGUGAAUUACUUAUUCACUAAUACUAAGCAAUUAAAAUUACUGUUAUGUUAGUUUGUUAGUUUGUGGAAUGUCCAGCUGGCACCUUGGUGGGGCUAAGUCUUUAAAUAGAGCAAUAGCUCCCUCUCUCUUUUGUAACGGUUAUGAACUUUUAUUAAUUAAAAAUACAUUUCUCUUCUUUAUUUUUUAAAUUAUUAACUUUUUCACUAUUUGUAUAAUGACACGUGGUGUACUACUUCGUGUGCCGAUCACACUGAAAAAUCUCUCCAAGCAAACUGACCUUUUGUCCUCGUUUGGGACACAUGUCCUUCUGUCGGGUGCGGAAAAAAUAAUUUGGCACACAGAUUCGAUUCUCGAACAUAUCCCGGUCUCUCUGUCGUAACUCGCGCGCCUAAUUUACAUGCAAGAUCAAAGUGAUUUUGUUCCUUUUUAGCCAAAGCAUUAGUGAGAUUUUUCCUUCUUAAAAAAAAAAAAAAAAAUAGACAACCAAACAAACAAAAGAAGAUGAAGGAGAUCCGUCGAUUGAGGUCUCCGUCGAUCCUGGUUUGCUUUUUUUGGUAAUUUGAGAUCCUUCAAGAGAGCCCUCUAAGGAGAUCCGUCGAGUUUUUACUUAAUUUGGUUCCGGUUUCGGUUUUUAUUGUUCAUUCUCAAACUUGGAUUUUUCUGCAUUUUGGUUCUAGAUUUUUGAUUUUCUGCCUUCUGAAAUUCUGCAAUAGGUUUUUCAAUUGGAUCAAGAAAUGGACUCGUGGACCCGUUGGAACCAACCCGUUUCAAAUGGUCCGGUUCCAUUUUUUAAAAAGAAAACUAACGAAAAGUACAACAAAAACUUUAAUUUUAACGAAGAAUGACAAAUAAAGGUGUAAUGAAUAGUUCUAAGGAGAGGUAAAAAUAUGAUUUUUCGUUAAAAGUGAACAGUACUAAGAGUUUCGUUAGAACACCAUUUUUUAAAAAUGUGACUACUAGCCCAGCUCAGCCUCGUCCCGUUUUAUUUCCAAAUAGGGGUAAUAGUCCAGUUUCACUAAAUUUGGGUCCGGCCUGGCCUGUGCCCCCUAGUAUGAACACUAUUCAGAUUUUUUUUUCGCAAAUCAAACUCAAAUAAAAGGGACAGUAGAAGGGACCAAAUUAUGAGAACUAACUAGAGGUGCAGAUGUUAUAGAACAAGCAAUGACAUAGUGGGUGCAAACAAGUGGUUAGUGCCCUAAACUGCUAUGGUAUAUAUUUCUUCCAACUCAACCAUCUGAAGUCGUUUCGUACUUUAAAAGGUGGUUAGCCUAUUUGUAUUGGUACAGAAACCGGAUGAAAAAAUUUUGUCUUCUCGAUUUGGAUUUGAGAUUUCUUCAAAUAUCGGAAAGUGACGCCAUAUUAAGAGAUUUCUUCAAAUAUCGGAUGAAAUUUUUUUUUUCUGUUACACAAUCUAAUAGAUGGAUAUUUGUUUGUAUAAGAAGUAUACAACAAAAACGAAUACCAUCACUUGGACACAUACAGGCAAUGGGUGGAAUGCUGCAGCCAGUCGCCUAAGCUCAUACUUAGGGGGCCACUUCUGAAGAACCCUCUUGCUUGAUUUUCUGCAGCAAAACAAGAAAUGCUCAGGAAACCUUAUGGGCUACAAAAACCAAAGAACCAAUUUGAAUGUAGUGAUGGCAAAAUUGGUUUUACAAUCUCACGAGGGAAAUUGUUAUUAACAGUCCAAAAAGGUCAUCUGACACACCUCCUUCCUUUAUUUUGUAAUUAGUGACAAGAACAGAUGUUAAAUAUUCAGCGUACUCCUCAGCACCAACCAUCGUAAUCUGUAAACUUGAGGCUUCUCACUGUGUGUGUGUGUGUGUUGGGUUUAUCUCCAGAAGAUGAUGAACCGUUAAAAAAGAGCGUCCACAAUGACUCAAAACCAAAAUGUAUUUAUUUGAUCAGUAUAACUGCAGUUUCCUAUCGAUCAAUAUGUUAUAACAGCAGUUUAACAAAGCCAACAGAAGAAUCUGGCACUGUCAUAUUGGAAUGCCUAUCAUCAUAAGGAGCAAGGCUUCCAUGAAAGUUUACACAUGUGGAGAGGUGCAAGAUAGAUUAAGGGUUAUUGUGCCAAUUCACACAUUAAAAAAAGAAAAAGAACAGUUCAGCUAAAGUCUACCUCUGUUUAUCUAGAAGCAAGAAAUGUGCAUAAGUUAGAUUAGAAAAAGGAAUGAACUUACAUCAUGGAGAUGAAACCAUCUAAGGCAUUGUUCUUCUUGGCUCUCCCCUGUGAAAUAACCCAAUUUUAUUAUUAAAAACAAGAGCUCACAGAUGAGUAAAAAGCUUGUCGACCAAAGAAAAAGACAAGUAAAAAACUUGGGGCUUGUUUGGUUUCCUUCUCGGAUCCAAUUUUCUGUUUUCACAAAUGAUGAAUAUAGCUAAAUUCCUUCAUACUCAUUAGUCUCAAAAAAAAAAAAUGGCUUCUAUUGAUAAAAGGUAUUUAACAAAGAAAAAGAUAUCGUAUAGAUGUAUCAUGUAUAUGUAGUCACCUUUUUAUGAGCCAACCGAAAACUCUCCUCUUCUUCAGGCUCAAAAUCCUCACAUUUUCUGAGACAUGAAAUACUCUGACAUCAAAUGAAGUUGCAAUAAACCAUAUACCAAAAUUUUGGAAUAUUGAACUUAAUAUUACAAAGAAGAAACAAAAAAAUGGAGGAGAAAGUAUGAACUUACGGCAUAAAGCUGAAACAAAUACGAAGUGUACCAGAAUGUCCUAUGUGGAAAUCACAGACGCUAGAAUCCAAAGUCUUGAUAUGCAUUGUUUCAUCAUCACACACAAUUUCGAAUGUGGUGAUAAACAUCUCUUGAGGCUCAUCCAAAUCAGUGGAGAUAGAUUGAAGAAGGCAGAACUCCAACUUCCCCAAAUGGACCAAAUACUCUGUUGGCCUAGAGAUACGACCAGAUUCCGUACUGUCCGCAACCCUACUCUCCAGUCCUGGCAAAAAGAAUGGUUCCUCUAGCGAAUAGGUAAUACGGCCAUCAUUCCCUAUUUUCAUCUUAAGCGAGAACGCUAUAACCUUUCCCCAUUGUAUAGAUAAGGCAUAUAUAGAAUUGCCUACAACCACGGCCCUCCCUCGAAAAGCAGAAUAAUAAGCUUCCUUUCUAGAUAUAUCAACUUGAUGCCAGGUAUUACUGUCUAUAUGAAAAACCAUGAACUCAAAUCGAAAAUUGUAUGUUGAAACCAAAAUACAUCCAUGACAAACAGCAUAACCUGAUAUCUCCAUCUUGGACCGUUCCCGAGAAUAUGCAAAAUGAGUAAGAGAUUCCCAAGAAUCAGUUUUGGAAUCAUACCGCUCAAACAAUACCUUCGGCAUCACUCGGAAGCACUGUGGAGAUGCAAGAUUAUAAAGCUUUCCGUAUGCAGACAUAAGAUAUGAAACUGGCUUAGGUGCUAAAGGAGGCUCGAAUGUUUCCAAUGACCUAGUCUCUGUGUCAUAAAUUUGUCCCCUAUAUGAGCCGAGCUUGUCAUCAGCGGGGAGGUUAUGACGAGGUAAGAGUCCUUUAUUUAACACUAGGUGUAAUUUAGAGGAGUUGUGCAAUCUCGCACCCUCAAACCAACAAAACUUGGGGAGUACAAACUUAAACUCAGGUUCAAGUAUCUUAGGUCGCAUCACUUCUCCUCCCUGUUGGAUUUUUAUUUCAUAUAAUCCAGCUUCACAUGGACCACAUGCAAAUUCCACGAGUAUAAAUACCGAUCUGGCUUCCCCCUCCUCCAUAGAUGUGCUGAAAAACAACAAUAAUGGUGCAAGUCAAAUAUUUUUUCCAAAACAACAAUAAUGGGUCGAGACUCGAAGAAGGUGGGCUGAAGAGAGACAGAGUCGAGAGAGAUGAGAGGGUUCGAGUCCAGAGGACAGAGGAGCGGAAGGAGGCGGACUGGCGGAGUCUCCGAAAUUCAGAAUGACAGAAUGACACAGGAUUGCGCUCCCUAAAUUCGAAAUCCGACGGUCCACGUUAUCCAAGUUUUCGGGAUCGGUUUGGUUUUGCGUACCCAACUUUUGGGAUAUUUGGUUCGGUCGUUUUUCGUUUAAAUUCGUGAUGAACCAAUAUGUAUGCCAUAUAUUUUGCCCUUUUAUAUUUCGCUUUUUGUAUUUGUGAUACUCUUGCCAUAGUGUGUUUCUAGGAAAAGCGGAACUGAGUUUAGAGCAAUUCCAGUGUGGGAGUCCUCUCCCCAGGCUAUCCACUAUGCUAUUCAUCCAAUGAACAGUAAUUACUCCUUAAUGAACAGUAAUCGCCUUUUGCAUCUCCACCCCUACACUGAAUAGUCCUGGCAAUUGACAAUAAAAUAUUAUUAUUUAUAAUUAAUAUUAUAUUAUUUACUUUGUAUAAAUUAAUAUUAUAUUAUUAAUUUAUCUUUUCCUUUUGAUCUUUCCGAAACUUCUACCAUUUUUCUUUCUUCUUCCUUCCCACUUCUUCCUUCCCGAAAUUUUCUUCCUUGCACUGCAAAUUUAUGUUUUACAACUCCAAAUUUGAUUUCGUUUUUUCUUACAAAUUUCUGGAGAAGAGCACUGCAAGGUAAUUGACUUUUGGGUUUACCGCAGAUUUUGAUAUUUUGUGUGCUUUCUGUUUCGUUUUUCCAGAAUCCGGCGAGCUCCGUGACCAAUCCCGACCAAGCUCGACCACGGUUGUUACUUACAGUGGUAAAAUCUUGUUCCUUUUCAUUUUAGCAUCAUUUUUGUGCUUAAAUUACAAUUUUUAAUGGAGUUUUAAGUCGAGAUCGGAAUCGGGAUGAAUCCCUACCAAAUAUUCCGGUGUUCUCCCUUGAGGGUUCCGGUGACCCAUGUUUUAAAUCGUGGCUGACGUCGCCCAGACGUCAGCCUUGCAUCAUGUUGCCUUCGGGCUCUCGAGCUAGCAACUCGUGCCAGGCCUGUCCCUCGGGCUGCCACACGCUGGACCAAAUCCAUCAGGCUCUCUGGCCCUGUUCAGCCCCUGUCCCCCGAGCAAGAGCUCCCGCUGGAGCUGCUCUUAGUGGAAAAGUAUGCAAACGGUAGAGUGAUUCUAAUUGGAGUCAAGUUUAAGAAAUGAGCCUUUUAAGGACAGCUCAUUCAUUGAGAUUUAAGGAAAGUUUGGAGGCAAGAAAAAUGUUAAUUGAAAUCAAAUUGUAAUCUGCUUAAGAUUAUAAUACCCGUUACAGAUUGUUUUUCCUUCUUCGUUAGUUGGAAUCAAAUUGUGCUAUAUUGUAUUUAAACAAUGAAAAACAACUCUUACGUCUCAGCAAGGAAAGGGAAAAACAACUCUUACGUCUCAGCAAGGAAGAAACUAUGCUGAUGGUCUUCCAACUGCGUAGUUGUGACAUCUCUGAUGUUAGCAAAACCUCGUUCCACUUUGGUGUAUAGGUUCAGAGAAUUUAGAAUUGACUCCCCCACUUCAAUAUACCAUGGACCUGAUAAAAGAAACAAAACGACACAAAAAAUCAGAAAAGUUGUCACUUAGGGCCCAGAAAUGUCUGAAUUCUUACAAAAUAUCACCUGAACUUUUAGGUCCAUGUGGAAAUGAAGAUAACUAAUAAGAAAAUUAUCAAACAUUUAGUUGCUUGAUACAAGUCGAAAGUUGAUUCCGCCAAUUCAGGGCGCAGAGGAUAAUACUUUUCUGUGGGAUGCAACGUUGAUGGUCCAACAAAUACCUACAUUCUUUUACAGUUCAUAUUAGACAGUUUUCUUUUCUUUUUUUUUUUUCCUUAUAAGAAAUACUGCGGUAACCUCUCUGGUAUUACUCCACACUUUUUCAAUACAUUGCAGCUGCAAUAUCGCCAACAUGAACCUAAAUCAUAGUUCGUAUCUCAGGAUUAGAAGACUCUUUCUGAGGUUGAAGUCAUUAUAGACCAGUAUGACAAGUUUUAGAUUCCCUCCCUCUAAGCCACGCCAAAAUGCCUGAAGGCUUGUAAGCUGCCAAUACGUUGCUUUUCCUGUCCUCAUAUCAGCUUCAUGGUAAUAUGCGUUACCACAAAAACUUUGCAGCCUACUCAUCUCAAUUUAAUCUUACAGCUAGAAUCCAAACUUUUAACACUUGCAAAGUACCAAUAAUGAAUUGAAUAAGGCAUUCAAAAAGGCUAGGAAGAAAUGUUGUACCAUGGACCAUGUCUGAAAUAUUUCUGCACAGCAGAAUGAAACAUCCUCCAGAACUCAUUUCCAACAAGGAUGUGGCCCUUAAAUAGAUAGUCAUCCCCUAAACGAAGAAACACAUAAUCCAACAUCAGAAACAUCAAACUCUACGCACUAAAAAUACAUUUAAGGAAUGGGCACGGCAACAGAUUGCACAAGGAAAUAUUGGCCCUUGUACUAUUUGGGAAACCCAGUAAACUACUAAAUAUACUUGUAAUGCGGUGCAUUAAAGACCUCAAAGCCCCGACGAAACCUACCAGCUCCAAUUCCGGAUGAAUACACAAUCCAUUCACCAGUUGAUACAUCCAGCAUUGUACCGAGUAAAUUCAACGAACUCCACGUGCCCCAUAAUUCACAAAGAGCACAUAAAGCUGCCGAUUCAUAUUUGGGGUCUCCAGUCAAUCGGGACAAUGCUCCUAUUCCCAGAAUUAGAGAACAUGAAUUCAUACGAAAAAUCAUGAGAUUCAGGAAAGUCAAAUUUAUUGAUGUCCUCAUCUGAAUAACGCAAAAGAAAGCCCCUCACCGCACCCUGAAGUGCUAAUUUCAGUAGUCUCUUUCUCCAUCACUCCAUCCACACUGUCCACAGAAUUUAGCAUUGAUGCGGAGUCAUAUAUCCUUCUUACAAAGAAAACCAUCAAACAAUUUUGUAUAGUUUUGAAACUUGAAAGGUGAACUCUUGAAAUGAUUAUGCAAGAUACAAGUACACAUAACUGUAUCUUGAGACUGAUGAUGCUGAAGUAGAAAGAAUCGUAUCAUGCAUGCAUCGCAAAAGUCACCAUGUAAUUAAACAUUGGAGCUCAGCAUGCCUCAGACGUUACCUGUAUGUUAAUCCAUGCAUAUGGCAAUCCAGUGGGUGUGUUAAACGCAGGUAGGAAGCGUUUCCCUAAGUCCUCAGCCAAGGUAAGCAGCUGAUUAAACUCCUUGACCCAGCCUGUUUGUCGAAUCAGUCGGAAGUAAAUGAGCUGAAACAAGCCCUCCAAGUACUCUUAUGUUGCACCACAUAGAGCAAUCAAGUGAAAAAGAGAACCAGAACGACAAUAAAUAUUGCUUUUGAAUAUCAGAGUAACUUAACCAAAACAAGCUUUUCGACAAGCUCGUCAAUAGAUACCUCAAAGAGAUUUACCCUCGCAUUGACAUUGAAUUUCAAAUUCUUGAGGAAGGUCAAACAAUUGCACUUUCAAAUUCAGUGUUGUUACCCAUAAUGACAAGGCUGAGAGAAUUUUUUUGCAUCAGAAUGACGGGCGGACAAAUUAUAUGAUACAGCAUGAAGAAAACACCAAAGUUGAGGAUAACGUUGCAAUAACUUAAAGCAUAUAUACUUAAGAUUACAGAAUAACAGAAGCGUAUAUGUGCCAUAAUCUGUCAAACCUGGACAACGAUUCUAUAAGUGUCAGAGCGGAUCCACUAUAGUCUUGAUAAGUAUUCAAGCUGAAAUAGGGUAAGGAAACAUUUUAAUUUACUUUUGCAAGUUGCAAUUAAUCAUAAUUCAUUUAUCUACAGAUAUAUAGCUACCUUCAGAUUUCCAAGUUCACCAAGAGAGUCGGUGAAACUUUUACCAAGAAACGAGUCUGAGCAUCAUACAAACGAAAGAGCAAAAGCUACAAGAAAUAAUGAAUAAAAACUAACAGAAUCAGCCAAAACAAACUCAAAUCAGUAAAACCAGAAAUUCUGGAUCAAAACCCCAGAUUUCUGAUCAAUAUUACAGAUACCCAAGCAGCUCAUGUUCUCACCCAAUAACAACUUGACAAGUGUUCAAGUUGUUUGUUCAGGCUCUAUUUUUUUGGACGCUUGUCAAUUAUUAUUGAGUGCGUUUUUGUUUAAGCAGCCAAGCUUUGUUGUUUUCAGUGAUAGGAGUUUUUAUUUUCUUUUGAUAAUAAUAAGGAUGCACUAAUAAAAAGUGAUCAAAAUUGAGUUUGGACCGCAAAUUCUUGAGUUCCAUUUUGGAUUAAUACUAACUUGUAUUUAGAUAUUUAAGGAAUGAAAUCAAGUUUUAUGCUGCAAAUUCUUGAGUUGCAUUUUAACUUUUAUUUAGAUUAAUACAAACUUAUUUCCGACCCCAGUUUUUUACUUUUCUACCCUAAUUUCUUCCUUGUUUCAGACCCUAACAUUUUACUUGUACCCUAAUUUUUUCCUUAUUUCGGACCCUAAUUUCUGUUACUUGGUCAAAGCCUAGGGCUACAUAGUAUCUUGGUGUGCAAGAAGACGCAACCCUAGGGUAGAGACUAUCUACUAUCUCUUGCCUUAUAAAUAUUAGGCUUGGGCGCUUGGCCUGCUUGUACUUUAGUUUUAUCUGCUCUAAAAUUUUUCUUUUCGACUGUCUCUAACCAUGAAGGCAGAAGUUGGUCCGUCAGAGUCAGAUGGUGGCUCAUCGGAAUUAUAUUGUAAGAUUCUUUAAUUCUUUUAAGUUUUACGGCUGCUCCAAUUUGUCUUUUCUAUGUGUUCCUUUUCAUACUCGUGCAUGGCGUUGUGCCUGCUGCCAUCAAUUUACGUAUUAAAUCAUUAACGCCAUUAAAUAUUGUUUUCUGGCAAAAGUAAUUUAAUUAUCUGUGAUUAAUCCUACUCUAACUCCACAUAAUCUUCAUAUUUUUUGUAGUUAAAUUUGUAGGCUACACAAAAACAACAAAUUAACGAUAGAGGCAACUUUUCAGGAUUCCCUCAAUGGCGCAAUUCUUCCUCAUAUAUCAACAUUUCGCUAGCGUUCUAGUUGAGAUUUGUAUGCGUGGCUCUGGCCAUUGUCACCGAUUGGUUGCAGGCACGGUCACGGACGAUGGAAAGGAAAGAGAACAUGCCAACACUAAUAGACAAUUCGACACUGGAAAUAAAAGAGUUGCAGCCAGAAAAUAACAAGGGCACUAAGAAGAAGAAAUGAUAAUGGGGAGAGAAAUAUCUACAACAACAACAACAACAACAAAGCCUUUUCCCACUAAGUGGGGUCGGCUAUAUGAAUCCUAGAACGCCAUUGCGCUCGGUUUUGUGUCAUGCCCUCCGUUAGAUCCAAGUACUCUAAGUCUUUUCUUAGAGUCUCUUCCAAAGUUUUCCUAAGUCUUCCUCUACCCCUUCGGCCCUGAACCUCUGUCCCGUAGUCACAUCUUCGAACCGGAGCGUCAGUCGGCCUUCUUUGCACAUGUCCAAAUCACCAGAGCCGAUUUUCUCUCAUCUUUCCUACAAUUUCGGCUACUCCUACUUUACCUCGGAUAUCCUCAUUCCCAAUCUUAUCCUUUCUCGUGUGCCCACACAUCCCACGAAGCAUCCUCAUCUCCGCUACACCCAUUUUGUGUACGUGUUGAUGCUUCACCACCCAACAUUCUCUGCCAUACAACAUCGCUGGCCUUAUUGCCGUCCUAUAAAAUUUUCCCUUGAGCUUCAGUGGCCUACGACGGUCACACAACACGCCGGAUGCACUCUUUCCAUCCAGCUCGUAUUCUAUGGUUGAGAUCUCCAUCUAAUUCUCCGUUCUCUUGCAAGAUAGAUCCUAGGUAACGAAAACGGUCGCUUUUUGUGAUCUUAGCUAGAUUGCUCCGGUCAUUAGUGUGGAUAAGUAUAUAAAUGGAUAGAGAUAGGAAAGCAAACACAAGAUGUACGUGGUUCACCCAGAUUGGCUACGCCCACGGAAUAGAAGAGUUCUCAUUAAUUGUGAAGGGUUUACACAAGUACAUAGGUUCAAGCUCUCCUUUAGUGAGUACGAGUGAAUGAUUUAGUACAAAUGACAUUAGGAAAUAUUGUGGGAUAAUGAUCUCGUAAUCACGAAACUUCUAAGUAUCGGAGUGUGGUGUCGUCUUGACUUGCCUUAUCUGUCUCAUAGGUAGAUGUGGCAUCUUCUCUGGAAGUACUCUUCCUCCAUCCAGGGGUGGUAUCUUUAACUGGUGGAGAUGCACAAGGUAAUGUAUCAAUUUCACUUGAAGCUUACUUGUAGUUUCAGGCUUGGUCAAGCGCGAUACAAACCAUGUAGUAGGAGUCCCCCAAGUCGCCGAGCUAGGGGGUUUGCUGAAAGAGGUGACAGACAAGGUAAGCAAUCAGAGCUCCGACUGAUUGUUCACCUUCUCCCCAUCUUGCAGCAGCAUGAAGGAUAAAGAGAAGAAAAAUGAGAAGAGAUGAUAUGAGAUACUUUUGCUUUUGAAGAAGUAACUUUCCACAGGCUUAUUCUUGAACUGAGCUGGAGGGUUUUCUGGUUUCCUCCAGAGUAUAAGGCCGACUGAAGAAUUUGAGGGUCAAAACAAGUCCAUCAAAUCUAGAGUACGUUCCACCCUGCUGAUAUGGGAUACUUUUGCUUUUUGACAAAGUAAAUGGAUGUAUCGGCACGUGUGCUGUUACGCUUGUCUCCACAUGCUUCCUUGUAUCCUUCGCACUUGCCCUAUCUGUUCCUCAAGCAGAUGCGGAAUCUUCCCUGGAAACAUAAGAUGAUGAAGAUGAGUACUCGAGAGCAAUGCCAGGGAAGUAAUCAGGUAAGGGGUUCCAGGCAGUCAAUUCCUGGCUGGAAGCUUGAUUCCAAGUACUGACUGAUUGCUCUCUUUCUCCUUGUCUUGCAGGUAAAAAUAAGGCCAAAAGAAAAAACAGGGAAAAAGCAUGAUAUGAGAUACUCUUGCUUUUAACCCUGAUGAUAUGAGAUAUUCUUGCUCUAGUAUAGCUUGUUUGCAGAGGUAUUAUCGGGGGGAAAGAAAGCUGAAUAUUUCGAAAGGCUUUGUUGGGAGUGCCCUCUCAGAUAUGAUGAAGGGUUGAGCAUUUUUGCAGGUCUGCCUGUCCGUUGGGGAUGGAGGUCGACAUAUAUAGGAGUCUCCCUAACAACAAGUAGUAAUGCUAUUCCUUUACCCUGCUUGGUCAUAGCACGGUAGUGGGAGCUGCCAGUUUCACAUGUUUUAACUCUGUCAGAGCACUUUGAAAAAGUGGUCUGUGGUAUCUGGCUCUCGAGAUUCGGAGAACGAUGCCUCUUCGAUUUUUGAGAAAGCAAUCAUGCUGGGGGUCUGACUCUCGAGAUUCGGAGAGCAGUGUCUCUUCGAUUUUUGAGGAAGUAAUCAUGUUGGGAGUCUGGCUCUCGAGAUUCGGAAGGCGGUGCCUCUUCGAUUUUGGAGCAAGCAAUCUUGUUGGGAGUGUUGUCUCGAAUGUGAGUAAAGGUUGGACAUGUUUGCUAGUCUACCUUGCCACGAAGCACAAAGGUUGACACACAGGGACUUUCCAAUUAUCCAGCAAUGGUACUGUUCCUUUACCCUCUCUUCGAUUUUGAGAAAGUAGUCAUGUUGGGAGUCUGGCUCUCGAGAUUCGGAAGACGGUGCCUCUUCGAUUUUGGAGCAAGCAAUCUUGUUGGGACUGUUUUCUCGAAUGUGAGUAAAGGUUGGGCAUGUUUGCUAGUCUACCUUGCCACGAAGCACAGAGGUUGACACACAGGGACUUUCCAAUUAUCCAGCAGUGGUACUGUUCCUUUACCCUUGUGGGUAAUAAUAUGGUAGCUAGACCUUCAAAAUUUAUGUGUCUAAACUUUGUUAGUGCUGUUUCUUUGCUAUUCUUUUACCUUUCUUGGUCAGAGCGAUGUAGUGGGAGCUGCAAGCUUCACGUGCUCAACUUUGGCAGAGAACUUUGGCAAAGUGAUCUGUGGUACCCAUGAGUUAUUGUUGCGUGUAGGAAGUGGGUGAUUGAACAGUAAGAUUCAUGUGCUUUCUACUUCACCAGAAGUCUUCGACAAAAAUGCCCAUAAUUUCUGCAAAGCUGAGUGUGCGUGUGACAGGUGCUGACAAGGCUAGAAAAGUAGGUGCCUCUUCGAUUUCUGAGAUCGGCCCUCGUGGUCUCUGAGCAGCCCAGCUUUUGAGAAAGCGAGCGCCUCUUCGAUUGAUUCGGAGAACGGUGCCUCACCGAUUUUUGAGAAAGCAAUCAUGCUGGGGGUCUGGCUCUCGAGAUUCGGGGAGCAGUGUCUCUUCGAUUUUUGAGAAAGUAAUCAUGUUGGGAGAGUGGCUCUUGAGAUUCGGAGGGUGGUGCCUCUUCGAUUUUGGAGCAAGCAAUCUUGUUGGGAGUGUUUUCUCGAAUGUGAGUAAAGGUUGGGCAUGUUUGCUAGUCUACCUUGCCACGAAGCACAGAGGUUGACACACAGGGACUUUCCAAUUAUCCAGCAAUGGUACUGUUCCUUUACCCGCUCUUCGAUUUUUAAAAAAAGUAGUCAUGUUAGGAGUCUGGCUCUUUAGAUUCGGAGGACGGUGCCUCUUCGAUUUUGGAGCAAGCAAUCUUAUUGGGAGUGUUUUCUCGAAUGUGAGUAAAGGUUGGGCAUGUUUGCUAGUCUACCUUGCCACGAAGCACAGAGGUUGACAUACAUGGACUUUCCAAUUAUCCAGCAGUGGUACUGUUCCUUUACCCUUGUGGGUAAAUAAUAUGGUAGCUAGACCUUCAAAAUUUAUGGGUCUAAACUUUGUUAGUGCUGUUUCUUUGCUAUUCUUUUACCCUUCUUGGUCAGAGCGAUGUAGUGGGAGCUGCAAGCUUCACGUGCUCAACUUUGGCAGAGAACUUUGGCAAAGUUAUCUGUGGUACCCAUGAGCUAUUGUUGCGUGUGGGAAGUGGGUGAUUGAACAGUAAGAUUCAUGUGUUUUCUACUUCCCCAGAAGUCUUUGACAGAAUGCCCAUAAUUUCCGCAAAGCUGAGUGUGCGUGUGACAGGUGCUGACAAGGCUGGAAAAGUAGGUGCCUCUUCGAUUUCUGAGAUCGGCCCUCGUGGUCUCUAGGGAGCCCAGCUUUUGAGAAAGCGAGCGCCUCUUCGAUUUCUGAGAUCGGCCUUCGUGGUCUUUGAGCAGCCCAACUUUUGAGAAAGCAAACGGCUCUUCGAUUUCUGAGAUCAACCCUCGUGAUCUCUAAGCAGCCCAACUUUUGAGAAAGCAAACGCCUCUUCGAUUUCUGAGCAGGCGCCUCUUUGAUUUCUGAAGCUCCGUCGAGUGCAGAUUUUUAUAGAGGCUGGCAUUAAGUUCCAAAGCACACUUGAAUCUCCACCAGUAGAAGCUUCAUUCUUGCACUUCUAAUAUCUUGAUUUGUCCGACCUCUUCUCUCUUCAACACCUUUGAAAAAUGUCUGGCCCCUCCGACCGUCGUUUUGACUUGAACCUUGUUGAAGAGGCAGCCCCGCCUUCUCCAGACAACAUAUGGCGCCCAUCCUUCGUCUCCCAAACUGGUCCUCUUACCGUUGGGGAUUCCGUGAUGAAGAAUGAUAUGACCGCUGCGGUGGUGGCCAGGAACCUUCUCACUCCCAAAGAUAACAGACUACUUUCCAAACGGUCUGAUGAGUUAGCUGUUAAGGAUUCGCUGGCUCUCAGUGUUCAGUGUGCAGGUUCUGUGUCUAAUAUGGCCCAACGCCUAUUUGCUCGAACCCGCCAAGUUGAAUCAUUGGCGGCUGAAGUGAUGAGUCUCAAACAGGAGAUUAGAGGGCUCAAGCAUGAGAAUAAACAGUUGCACCGGCUCGCACAUGACUAUGCUACAAACAUGAAGAGGAAGCUUGACCAGAUGAAGGAAACUGAUGGUCAGGUUUUACUUGAUCAUCAGAGAUUUGUGGGUUUGUUCCAAAGGCAUUUAUUGCCUUCGUCUUCUGGAACUGUACCGCGUAAUGAAGCUCCAAAUGAUCAACCUCUGAUGCCUCCUCCUCCUAGGGUUCUGUCCAGUACUGAGGCUCCAAAUGAUCCCCCUCCGGUGCCUUCUCUUUCUGGGGCUCUACCGACUGCUGAGACUUCUCCUAAGCAACCUUUGUGAAGGUUCCCUCUUGUGUGUUUAUUUGACUCAUGUAUAUGUACAUAUUUGUAGCUUAUCGGGAUAUCAAUAAAUAAGCUUUCCUUCAUUUCAACGUAUUGUGUUAAAUACACCAAAGCCUUCUUCGCUAAGUUCUUUGAAUUUUCUUUUGUUGAAGCUUGUAUGUUGAAGCUUUCUGAGUGGAGCAUGUAGGUUGGGGUAGUGUUCCCUUAAUUUCCCGAGUGAGGAAAACUUCUUGGUUGGAGACUUGGAAAAUCCAAGUCACUGAGUGGGAUCGGCUAUAUGAAUCUUAGAACGCCAUUGUGCUCGAUCCUGUGUCAUGUCCUUCGUUAGAUCCAAGUACUCUAAGUCUUUUCUUAGAGUCUCUUCCAAAGUUUUCCUAGGUCUUCCUCUACCCCUUCGGCCCUGAACCUCUGUCUCAUAGUCGCAUCUUCUAAUCGGAGCGUCAGUAGGCCUUCUUUGCACAUGUCCAAACCACCGUAACCGAUUUUCUCUCAUCUUUCCUUCAAUUUCGGCUACUCCUACUUUACCCCGGAUAUCCUCAUUCCUAAUCUUAUCCUUUCUCGUGUGCCCACACAUCCAACGAAGCAUCCUCAUCUCCGCUACACCCAUUUUGUGUACGUGUUGAUGUUUCACCGCCCAACAUUCUGUGCCAUACAGCAUCGCCGGCCUUAUUGCCGUCCUAUAAAAUUUUUCCCUUGAGCUUCAGUGGCAUACGGCGGUCACACAACACGCCGGAUGCACUCUUCCACUUCAUCCAUCCAGCUUGUAUUCUAUGGUUGAGAUCUCCAUCUAAUUCUCCGUUCUUUUGCAAGAUAGAUCCUAGGUAACGAAAACGGUCGCUCUUUGGUAUUUCUUGAUCUCCGAUCCUCACCCCUAACUCGUUUUGGCCUCCAUUUGCACUGAACUUGCACUCCAUAUAUUCUGUCUUUGAUCGGCUUAGGCGAAGACCUUUAGAUUCCAACACUUCUCUCCAAAGGUUAAGCUUUGCAUUUACCCCUUCCUGAGUUUCAUCUAUCAACACUAUAUCGUCUGCGAAAAGCAUACACCAAGGAAUAUCAUCUUGAAUAUGUCCUGUUAACUCAUCCAUUACCAACGCAAAAAGGUAAGGACUUAAGGAUGAGCCUUGAUGUAAUCCUACAGUUAUGGGAAAGCUUUCGGUUUGUCCUUCAUGAGUUCUUACGGCAGUCUUUGCUCCUUCAUACAUAUCCUUUAUAGCUUGGAUAUAUGCUACUCGUACUCCUUUCUUCUCUAAAAUCCUCCAAAGAAUGUCUCUUGGGACCCUAUCAUACGCUUUUUCCAAAUCUAUAAAGACCAUGUGUAAAUCCUUUUUCCCAUCUCUAUAUCUUUCCAUCAAUCUUCGUAAGAGAUAGAUUGCCUCCAUGGUUGAGCGCCCUGGCAUGAACCCGAAUUGGUUGUCCGAAACCCGUGUCUCUUGCCUCAAUCUAUGCUCAAUGACUCUCUCCCAGAGCUUCAUUGUAUGACUCAUUAGCUUAAUACCCCUAUAGUUCAUGCAAUUUUGUACGUCGCCCUUAUUCUUGUAGAUAGGCACCAAAGUGCUCGUUCGCCACUCAUUUGGCAUCUUCUUCGUUUUCAAAAUCCUAUUGAAAAGGUCAGUGAGCCAUGUUAUACCUGUCUCUCCCAAAACUUUCCACACUUCGAUUGGUAUAUCGUCUGGGCCUAUUGCUUUUCUAUGCUUCAUCUUCUUCAAAGCUACAACCACUUCUUCCUUCCGGAUUCGACGAUAAAAGGAGUAGUUUCUACUCUUCUGAGUUACUCAACUCCCCUAAAGAAGCACUCCUUUCAUGUCCUUCAUUGAAAAGAUUAUGAAAAUAACCUCUCCAUCUGUCUUUAACCGCGUUCUCUGUAGCAAGAACCUUUCCAUCCUCAUCCUUGAUGCACCUUACUUGGUUUAGGUCCCUUGUCUUCUUUUCCCUUGCUCUAGCUAGUUUAUAGAUAUCCAACUCUCCUUCUUUGGUAUCUAGUCGUUUAUACAUAUCGUCGUAAGCCGCUAACUUAGCUUCUCUGACAGCUUUCUUCGCCUCUUGCUUCGCUUUUCUAUACCUUUCACCAUUUUCAUCGGUCCUCUCCUUGUAUAAGGCUUUACAACAUUCCUUCUUAGCCUUCACCUUUGUUUGUACCUCCUCAUUCCACCACCAAGAUUCCUUUUGGUGUGGGGCAAAGCCCUUGGACUCUCCUAAUACCUCUUUUGCUACUUUUCGGAUACAACUAGCCAUGGAAUCCCACAUUUGGCUAGCUUCCCCCUCUCUAUCCCACACACAUUGGGUGAUUACCUUCUCUUUGAAAAUGGCUUGUUUUUCUUCUUUUAGAUUCCACCAUCUAGUUCUUGGGCACUUCCAAGUCUUGUUCUUUUGUCUUACUAUUUUGAUAUGUACAUCCAUCACCAACAAGCGAUGUUGAUUAGCCACGCUCUCUCCUGGUAUAACUUUGCAAUCCUUACAAGUUAUACGAUCCCCUUUCCUCAUUAGAAGAAAAUCUAUUUGUGUUUUUGACGACCCACUCUUGUAGGUGAUCACAUGUUCUUCUCUCUUCUUAAAGAAGGUGUUGGCUAAGAAGAGAUCAUAUGCCAUUGCAAAAUCCAAGAUAGCUUCCCCAUCCUCGUUUCUCUCCCAAAACCAUGGCCACCAUGAAAACCUCCAUAGUUGCCUGUCUCCCUGCCCACGUGUCCAUUUAAAUCUCCUCCUAUAAAUAACUUCUCCGUCUGAGCAAUUCCUUGCACCAAGUCUCCAAGAUCUUCCCAAAAUUUCUCCUUCGAACUCGUAUCCAACCCUACUUGAGGUGCGUACGCACUAAUCACAUUGAUAAGUUCUUGUCCUAUUACAAUCUUGAUUGCCAUGAUUCUAUCUCCUACCCUCUUGAUAUCUACAACAUCUUGUACCAAGGUCUUGUCCACGAUGAUGCCAACACCGUUUCUCGUUCUAUUUGUGCCCGAAUACCAAAGUUUAAACCCUGAGUUUUCUAGAUCCUUUGCCUUACUACCAACCCACUUAGUUUCUUGUAGGCACAUAAUAUUUAUCCUUCUCCUCACCAUAACUUCCACUACUUCCAUAGAUUUUCCCGUUAAGGUUCCUAUAUUCCACGUUCCUAAACGCAUUUUGCUCUCUUGAACUCUACCCUUCUGUCCUAGAUUCUUCACCCUCCCCCGUCUAAUAGGAUCAAAGUACUUCUUUUGUGUGUCCCGGGUAAAGUUGAUAGGAGCAUAUGCUCCCAAACAACUUUGAGUGGAGUCGUUCGAAAAGAAGUUUCUAUGGCCCCCUUGCUCAUUUAACACUGCAUCCGGGUGCCGAUGGAGAUACAGCGACCCUUGCUCACUUAUCACUGUGCUCGGGCCACACAGCGCGCCACUUACGGGUGACGCCCUAGCUUUAGCGCGAUUUUGUUCUGGAUUCAUUUUCAUAAGGAUUCGACGUGAUCAUGGAGUGCCGGCUGUCGACUACCUGACGCCCUCCCCCUCCUCCUUUAUCCGGGCUUGGGACCGGCCAUGUAAGACAUAGGCGGAGUUGGGAGAGAAAUAUCUAAACUGGAGAAAAUAAAUGAGGCCUAUCGAACAAACACGGAUCCAGAUAAGGUAGAUAUAUUACUAGAUACACAAAAAUGACAUAUUUUCUAAUAAGCGUAGUGCACAUUGGUUUAAAAGGUGUGUCCAUAAAUUUGUCAGUUUUUUGUGUUGCUAUAAAAUUUUAAAUAGAAUUAUAUAACACUUGUAUAAAUGUGCAAUACUAUUUGUAGGUCUUCGGUGCAAGCGUGGUCACAUAUGUGAAUGACAAUACAAACGGUGUAUCCAAAAUUACAUUUGAAGACCAUAGAAAGACUACUACUUCUUCAAUAUACCUCGUUGUCAUUUUUCUAUGGUCUUCAAAUGUGAUUUUGAAUAUACCGUUCGUAUUGUUAUUCACAUAUGCGACCACGUUUGCACCGAAGACCUUCAAAUAAUAUUGCACAUUUAUACAAAUGUCAUAUAAUUUUAUGUAAAGUUUUAUAGCAGCACAAAAAACUGACAAAUUUAUGGACACGCCUUUUAAACCAAAGUGCACUACACUUGUUAGAAAGGGUGUUAUUUUUGUGUAUCUAGUAAUAUAUCUACCUUAUCCGGAUCCAUGUUUGUUCGAUAGGCCUCCUUUAUUUUCUCCAGUUUAGAUAUUUCUCUCCCCGUUAUGCAUUUCUUCUUCUUACUGCCCGUGUUAUUUUCUGGCUGCCGUUCCUUUAUUUCCGAUGUCGAAUUGUCUAUCAGUGUUGACAUGUUCUCUUCUCUUUCCAUCGUCUGUGACUGUGAUCAAUCGGUAGCAAUGGCCAGAGCCACACAUACAAAUCCCAACGGGAACGCUAGCGUCAUGUGGAUAAAUUUUGCCAGCAUGACGACAACCAAUGCUGAUAUAUGAGGAAAGAAUUGCGCGCCAUUGAGGGUGUAAAAUCCCACAUCGACUAACAAAGAGGGGGUAAUGUGCCUUAUAUGUACAUGCCCACCUCUUAUAGCACUAGGCCUUUUGGGAACUCACUGGUUUUGGGUUCCAUCGGAACUCUGAAGUUAAGCGAGUUCAGGCAAGAGUAAUCCCAGGAUGGGUGACCACCUGGGAAGUUCUCGUAUGAGUUCCCAAAAACAAAACCGUGAGGGCGUGGCCGAUGCCCAAAACAGACAAUAUUGUGCUACAGCAGAGUCGAGAUUGGGAUGUGACAGAGGGAACCCUGAAAAGUUCCCCCUAUAGUUAAUUUGUUGUUUUAGUGUAGCCUACAAAUUUAACUACACAAAAAUAAGAAGAUUAUGCAGAGUUAAGAGUAGAAACAAUGCCGAUUAAUCACAGAUAAUCAAAUUACUUUUGCCAGAAAAUAAUAUUUAAUGGCGUUAACAAUUUAAUACGCAAAUUGAUGGCAGCAGGCACAAUGCCAUGCACAAGUAUGAACAGGAACACAUAGAAAAGACAAAUUAGAGCAGCCGUAAGACUCAAAAUGCGUAAAAUUUAAAAGAAUUAAAGAAUCUUACAAUAGAAUCCCGAUGAGCCACCAUUCGACUCUGACGGACCAACUUUUGCCUCCAUGGUUAGAGACAAUCGAAAAGCAAAAUUUUAGAGCAGAUAAAACUAAAGUAUAAGCAGGGCUAAGUGCCCAAGCUCAAUAUUUAUAAGGCACGAGAUAGUCUCAACCUUAGUGUUGCAUCUUCUUGCAUACCAACGUACUUUGUAGCCCUAGGCUUUGACCAAGUAACAGAAAUUAGGGUCCGAAAUAAGAAAAAAAUUAGGGUACGAGUAAAAAGUUAGGGUCUGAAACAAGGAAGAAACUAGGGCAGAAAAGUAAAAAGCUGGGUCCGAAAUAAUUUUGUAUUAAUCUAAAUAAAAGUUAAAAUGCAACUCUAAGAAUUUGUAGCAUAAAACUUGAUUUCAUUCAUUCCUCAAAUGUCUAUAUUCAAGUUAGUAUUAAUCUAAAUAAAAGUGAAAAUGCAACUCAAGAAUUUGCGAUCCAAUUUGCUACUUGGGGUCCGAAUAGAGUUCAAACUCAAUUAAACCACACAAUGGACAACCUAAUUUGGUAUCGAAUUCACCAUAUAUGAGAUUCGAAUCUAAGGCUUCUCAUUUUUAAACGAAGAGGAAUUCCACCAGACCGUAGUACUUAGUGGCAAUUUAUAAAAUGUUCGCUAAUCAAUUAAUUAAUCAAAUUACUUAAUUUAGAGGAUGAUGGCCGUAUUAUCUAUUUUUUAGAGAAACCAGUCUUCUUUCCAGCAUUUAAUAAUAGGGUUAAGGAGGAUUUUAAGAUCUCGUUUGGUAGCUCGGACUGUACUGAUUAUUUAUGUCGAAUAGGAUAAAUAUCUACCGGAAUGUACUGACUAAAUUAGUCGGGCAUUUAGUGCAAUAUCAGACUAAUGACCGUAUUAUUUAUACUGUGUUUGGUACUGAACCGGAUAAGGAAAGGGAAGAAAAAAAAAAUUGACAAAUCUUUCUUUAUUUGUUGAACUUUUCUCAUAUCUAUACCUAUUCAAAACCACACAAAUUUUCAAAUAACAAAGAAAAAUAGUAAAUUCCAUACAUCAAAUUCAAAAUAUUUUCCAAUAACAUAAAAGAAGGUUUACAAAAGACAACUACAGUCGUUACGUUAUAUAGAUUAAUCCAACCACAUAUCCAAGUUCACAAAAUAUACAAAUGCAAGUUGGUUUCAGUACGAAACAGUUUGUCCAUAUGGCCAAAAUAUAUGCAUGCUGCUGCUUUGCUUUCAGUACAAAGCAAUUUGUCCAAGUACCCAAAAUAUAUACAUGCUGCAGCUUUUAACAAAAGAUAUGCAUGCUGCUUUUAACAAAAUAUAUCGUUGUUGUUUUCCAAGUACCCAAAAUAUUUAUCACCAGCAUGUAUGAAUAGGUAACUAAAGACUAAGUGCAGGAAUCCAUUUCACCCAUUAUAUGACUCACAAAAGCUCAUGUUUCAAUAAUGAUACUGUAUGGAGGAACAUGACCACAACAACAUACAGAAACAUGAGGAUCCGGUUAAUGGAUAAUCUGGAGGGAAAUGAAUUGAAACUAGAAAAACAUCACCUGUGUAUGGGCUAUCACCAGGUCCCAUAAUUGUCGCCUGCCAACGGAACAUGUCCUCGGCCACAGGACCUAUAAUGCAUGAAAGAGAAACCCACAAGAAGAAUGUAUGCCAAGUUCAGUAAAGUGAUCAAAAUAUGCGUACACCCGAGAAACAUAAGAUGCAUGAGCCAGCAUACAAGACCUAGACAAGACCAGCUACAAUGUGAGAAUAUCCAACCAUCACUUUUUUUACAUCAGUUAAACCAUUAAAGGAGGAUUGUUUCGCUCCCAAAUGGACCAUCCACAAAUUUGCUACAUCUUUAUUUCCUAAUCGAUAAAGCAAAGGGUUAAAAUUUCAGUUCUUUUUUUCUUUUCUUUUCUGUUCAAUUGAUGAAAAGGGGCCAAUUUUUGGCUAAAAAUCUGAGCUGGAAACAGUUGAAAUCAUCGAAAAAACCCCGCUAAUUAGCUGCAAUUAGAACUACCAUCUACAAUUCUAAGACAAUUAUAAAUAUGGGAUCCAAAUUUAAUAAAAAGACAAGGGAUUUGUUCAAGGAAAAGGAGCAAAUACCAGCACUGCAUGAGGUAGGGGGGGGUCCUUCUGCAAAUCCUUGAGCUCCUUCAAGAUGCGUUUAGAUGCCAUGACAACACCUACAAACACACACAAUCACACAAAACACAACCUGAAAAACCCAACAACAAAUCUAAAAUUCGACCCAACAGCAAACCCUAAAAUUCGACCCAACAGCAAACCCUAAAAUUCGAAAAUUCUAAUUAAAACCCAAAAUUAAAUAAUCAAUUGCAUAAUUAGAGAGAAAACAAUAACUAGAUUCAAUCAAUUCAAAGAAAAUUGCAAGAAAAAUAGAAGGAGGGGAAGAACAGAGGGAGGGGCGGAACCUGGGAAGAAGAAGAAAAAUGAGAAGAUGAACUGAAUAGGAUGGAAAACGAAGAGGAAGAAGGCAUUUGAGAAGACGAACCAUGAGAGUGCAAGCGCGCGAGAGGCAGAGAGAGCGUCUGGAGAAGACGAGUGUGCGUCUGGAGAGGAAGGAGAGAGCGACUAAAUUGUCCGUUGGUUUUAGAGAGUAUAUAAGGAAGCGGUUAUUCAGCAGUACAAAAUAAGUGGAGCAGGAUUAUUUAGUCCGGUGACUAUUUAAUAUAAACGGACAUCAAAUACUAUAUUUCGUAUGAUUAGUAUCAUCCGAUGCCAAACGAGGAAGGGUUAAAGAUGCAACCAAGUUUUUUUUUUUUUCUCUUCGUUGUGAGAGUCUUCCCUCCUCUGUGAGAGCCUGCAACUAGAUAACACCGCCCUCAUCUGAACCAUACCAGAUCUAAUAUUGCGCAUCCCCUUCCAGUUUUCAACCAUUUCCUACCUUUCCCCAGAUUUUCAAUUGUCCGUGAAUUCGAUUUCAACUAACCCUAGUCUGGGUAGUUGGGUUUAUUAAGAGCCUGCGUAUCUUACACCUUUCCUCCCUUGUUCAUUAAUUGACUCUGUCCUCUUCGACCAUCAUCAUUGAUUUCUCCAUAUCUUUUCCCUCUGCUCAUGCGGUGUGAGUAGUUGGGUCUUACGGCUGAGGAAUUGAAGGCUUUCAAUACAACUGGGUCAUUAUGGUCUACUGGGUAUUGUGGAUUGGCCUGUCCUUUAGAGCAAUUCCACCCUAAAGACUUUAGGCCAACAAUCAGCACAUUUAUUCACUUAAGUAGAUAGUAAUAUAUCUCAAUGAACAGUAAUAGACCAAAGCAUCUUCAUCCCUAAAAAAAUGCAUUUGAGAAGAAGGCAUUUGAAAAGACGAACCAUGAGAGAGCAAGCGCGAGAGGUAGAGAGAGCGUAUGGAGAGAACAAGUGUGCGGCCUAGUUUGGUGAGUUGAUUAUGAUAAAAGUGGUUAUAAAAAAAAACGCUUUUUUUUUUGUUUAGUAAAUAUUCAGCUUCAGCUUUUUUCACAGUUUUGGAUGAAAAAAAGUCAAAAACACAAAGCUGCAAAACCGAACUUUGAAAAUUCGAUUUUUUUCACAUCUGUUUUACAUAAAAAUUUACCAAAUUCUAUAAUACUGUUUUUUUUUUUCAAAAGCACUUUUACAAAAAAGUUUACCAAACACUCAGCUGCUUUAUUUCACAGCUGUUUAUUCUCACAGUACAAUAGAAACAACUUUUUUUUUUUUUCAAAGCACAGCAAUACCAAACCAGCUUUGCGUCUAGAGAGGAAGGAGAGAGCGGUAUUCACAGUAUAAAAUAGGUGGCCCAGAUUAUUUAUGGUGGGCUAUCUACCCACCCUAUUUUACUUUUCAAACACCUUGAUAAUAUAUGUCCAUUGAUCUUCUUCAAUUCAUCCGAUCCAACGGUCGAAAAUUAAAAAGACGAAUGAGAAGUAAAAUAAGAUGUGUGGAUAUCAUAUCCCUUAUUUUAAUAUAAAUGGACACCAAUCACUGAACUCCGUAUUAUUAGUACUAUCUGAUGUACUAUACGAUAUGCCAAACGAGGCCUAAAGGGUUAUGUGCUAUUUGAUAUUAAUUUCAGCUUCACACCGUAAGUUUCUUCCUGAACGUUCCAUUCCUCGUUAUUUAAAUUUUAAUGGUCGAUAUUCUGUUAUAUAAUAGGAUUGAUAUAAUCUAUCUGGCAGCUCUUGGUGUGUUUAAAUCUGAAUCAGGAUACUCAGGAAACUCUAAAUAUCCUGAUUCAGAUUUUCAGUAAGUUCAAACUUCGACUGUAUUUUGGUAGGUCUCGAUAGUAUAGGUUAAGCUUUUCACAUGUGAGCUGACAACCUGAGGUCAAGAUUAGGGCUUAGGGUAGGGGUGGUUUGAAUCGGGAUACCGAACUGAAAAGCAUAAACAGAAUCCCGAACCUAUCACUUUCGGGGAUCGGAUUCCGAUCGCCAAAACCGAACUGAAAUUUCGGUAAUCCGAAAUUCUACCGAAAUUCGGGAUUCCUAAAAAUUUUCGGUACUACUUCAACAUGCAUGCUCAGAAAUCCAAUAUUUGAAACGGAAAAUCAUGCUCAGAAACUCAACAUCCAAUUGUAGAAAUCUAACCUACUCAGAAAUUCAAAACGAAUCAAAUAAAGAAAUCCAAUCACAAAAAUCCAAAUUCAAUUUUAAAUCGAAAAAUAAUACAAAACAAAACCCUAUAUUUCGACAAUAAUUCAGAACAAAUACCUCGAUUUUGGGCUCGAGAGUCGCUCGAUCGAGAGAAUGAGAGAGAGAUAGCAGCAGGUGUGUGUAGUUUGUCUGUGAUGUGGUCGAGACAGAGAGGGUAUGGUGUGGUAAAAUUGCGUUAGAGAAGUUUAAUGUGUUUUCAGUCUCUCAAUGACUUGCCUCGGCGGGUCUGCGAAUCAAGCUGGGCGAGGCUGUCAAGAUGGC
Molecule: long non-coding RNA, 48547 nt
Filed under: Malus domestica (apple)
Lineage: Eukaryota; Viridiplantae; Streptophyta; Magnoliopsida; Rosales; Rosaceae
Source: RNAcentral